This 64121-nucleotide long non-coding RNA is filed under the name Capsella rubella. Its description in RNAcentral is "long non-coding RNA (CRUB_LNC001530)". The record is from RNAcentral. Lineage: Eukaryota; Viridiplantae; Streptophyta; Magnoliopsida; Brassicales; Brassicaceae.
UCGGCAAAAUAAUUUUAAGCCAAGGGGGUCAAAAAAAGGUUGCAAAAAUAAUAAGAUAGAUAAUUAAAGACUUUGAUUGAAAUGUCGUCUCCCAAUAAAGUCUUAACUUGUAUUUUUCUUAAAGAAAGUGACAGCCAUGACCCUAUUGUAUAGCUCAGCUACCCAAACUAGCAGCAUAAUUUGACAGAGCAAGUUGAGGCGAGUUUUACGUGAAGAUGCUCGUAUAACAUAGCACCAAGAAGAUAUGACUGAGAUAGCAGAAACUAAUAAAGAACAAGUUAGUGAUGUAAUUUAAGUUCAUUAAUGUAGUACGCUAUACGAUAUGAUAAGCUGUAUGAUGUAGCAUCUACCUACAUUCUAUGCCUUUAAAUUGAACUAAAUCAAGUCUUAACAUUUUUUUUUUUUUUUUUGUCAACAUUGAACCACAAUUGGCCUGUCCAUUAGCCAAAUCCCUACAAAUAUGUAGGGAGCGGGAUUGGAUCCCUGAUGUGAUGGUGUCCGUCCAACAGUGGACUUAUCAAUUGCCACUAAACUAAGGACACUUCACCAUUCUUUUUAUGUUUUGGGGGGACAAAAUCAAGUAUUAACAUUCUAUGCCAUGAAAAUUAAACUGAUUAUUUUUUUAGUUCUUUUUAAGCAGAGUAUGUAGUUCUGAAUUAAUCCAUUUAAAUAUAGAAAUUUUUGUGAUUAUAUUUAGUUAGAAAAUUCUCGUUAUAGAAGAUAUUGAUAGAUAGAUGAUUCCAUGUUUUUGUCUUUUUUUAACAAAACAAUUUGUUAAAUAAAAUUCAUUUAUAUUGGGUUUUAUUCUCAUGAUUUUAUCAAAAGAAAUAAUUUUUUAUGGUUUUACAAACAUGAAAUAAUAUAACAGUUUUUCGUCUUUAAAUAAAUUAUAUUAGAGUAUUAAAGUCUUGCUUACAACGGUUAGAGUCAUUGCCUUUGGAUAGUGGUUAAUUUAAACCGCACAACAAUUAGUAGAUUUUCACAACUAAAUGAUUCAGACUUGAGAGGGCUCUGAACUGAGAUACAAAAUAGAUCCCUAUUAAGAAAAUAAUAAGAAUAAUAAUAAAAAAAAUAGAUCCUUAUUAUAACCAGCUUCACAGACAAAUAGUCCGUUUAUCAUAUGUGAAGUGGGAUCAGGUACAUCUUGCAACUUUUGGAGUGAGAACUGGACUUGCCUAGGUCCUCUUAUCCAGCUAGCUAGGAAAGUGAUCAUAAUAGGAAAGUCACAUGAUGGAGUUGGGGCUGUUGGACUUUGAAAUAGGCUGUAUAGAUCGUAUUCUUGAAUACAGGGAACCAAGGUGUUAUAUUUGACCACCAAUGAAUGUUAUGCAUUGUUUUGUACGUGUGUAAGAUUGAAUCAACAAAGAAAAGACUAAACGAGUUGUACAAACCAAAGCCAUGAAUCCAAGUCUUACUAAAAUAUGAAUGAGUGAGGGCUGCUGGUGGAUCAAGCCAUCAAGGGAAUCGGACCAUAGUGAAAACUACAUAUAUUGUAGCUCUGUUGCUUGAAAAGAACAAAAAUCUACUUUGAUCAAUAUAAUUUUGAUGCUUUGUAACCUUUUACCAAAAAAAAAAAAAACAAGAAACCGUUGAUGCUUUAUGCAUACGAUGAUACGAAGCAAGCCUUUAAAUAUAUAGUCUAAAAACUUAAACAACCACAACAAAAUAUAAAAUGUAUCAAAGUCACAAAAUUGCUAAAAAUCUCUUUAUAUUGCAUAAAAGUCACGAGAAAGUAACCAGCAUACUUGGGAGAAACGUAUGGCCGCUGAAGCAUGACGUGAGGCCCAAGGAUAAAGAUCGCCCAAAGGAAGAAUAAAACGGAUAUAAUGCAAAUGACUAUCAAAAGCCACUUCACAUGCCCUACUGCAGUGAGCACGCCAAAAAGGAAUGCCAAGGGCAUGCAGAGUAGAGAAAAAAGCAGUAAGGGCAAGGCCACAUGUAAAGAUUUUCGGAUGAGUAGUGGAUCACCCAACUGUGCCCAAAUAAGAGUACCUAUUGUUGCUACGGAACUUUGCAUUGCCAAGAUGUCCAGAAGUAGAAAAAUGCAGAGAGUUGGGUUUUUGGCCAAAGUUGCCCUGCCCAAGUGUGGAGCAGAGCUAUUAAACCCACCUGGUAUUGUAAAACCUGCAGCAAACGUCAUUGUGGCUACAAGAGCCGCAACCAGUAGAAGCGUGUUGACGUAAUCUCUGUUAUUCUUAGGGUCUAGUGGCUCUGCCGGUCUUGUUAAUGAGUCCACAGAUUCAAAACCCCUUGUGUGAAUAGUGUAUAACAAGAGCGCCAGUGUCCACCUCUGUAAUCCAAAAAAUGGGUCAAGUUGUAAAUCAUAUAUUUUGGAUCAAAUGUGUUGUAAGACAUACCUCCUGAAAGAUGUAGUUGGGUUUCAGCUCUGACUCAGCAAUAUCCCUAGCUGUUAAGCCGCUUUUGUUUCGUAAUUUCAGUAUCUUGGUACCCUUAGCAAGCAAAGUGAUGGAUCUAUAGUGCCACUUCAUGACGGCAAGGUGCAAAGGUGUAUUACCGUCCACAUCUUGUCCAAUACCCAGAUGUUCCGUAUCUUCAUUAUCCAUCAACAAUUUUGCAACCCGAUGUUUUCCGUUUUUUGCUGCAACGUGGAGAACGUUCUGACCAAGUUUGUUAAGUAGGUGUUUUGCAUCUGGACACUGCUUUAUAAACUCUUCAACAAUUUCUUGAUGACCUUCCUUUGCAGCCCUAUGAAUUGGAAAAGAACCAUCUUGGUCGCAGACAUAAACACUCUUCUUUGACCGAUGUAAGAGGUUGCAUACUCCUUCAUAAUACCCUACAUAUGCUCCGAGUGCAAGACAAGUCAUACCAGAGUCAUCUCGCUCGUCCACAAGACUUGGAUAUUCAUCAAGAAUAAAAUCAAGGCCAUCUGUUCAAAGAUUUGGGAACAACAAUUAGUAUACAUAGGUAGACUUUACAAUUUUUACAAACUGGUUUUACAUAAUUGGAACAGACUAAAAGCAGCUGCUACUGGUUAAAGCGAAAAACAAACCUUUAUUCUUGGCCAUCAAAGCAGCAUGUGCAAGAUAUUUUUUCCCUUGUAACUUCGAAUAUAAGUUAAACUUCUUCCCUUCAAGGUUCUCGUUGCCAGUAGUUUUCAAAAUUGCUUUCACAAGGGAUACAUCUCCACGAGCUACUGCCAUAAACAAGGAAGAUAAUCCCUCAUUAUUUCCAAGGAAAGGAGCAUCAUGGUUCGCGUUCACCAGAUACGUAGCCAUCUCCAAAUACCUUCCUUCAAUCGCCAAGUGCAGAGCAGUAUUUCCAUCUUCGUCCUUGAGAAUAUAUGGAUUCAGUCUCUCACUCUCUUCAUUACAUAGUCUAUCGGAAGCAAAUGUUACCAACGCAACAAAAGCCUCAACAACAGCGGUAUGACCUUCAUAAGCCGCCACAUGAAGUGGUGUUUGACCGCUCGAGUUUGGCUCCAAUAGAAGGCUAGGACAUUGAGAGACAAUAUCCUUCACUAGUUCUAGAUGACCCCAUGUAACAGCAAGAUGAAGAAUUGAAUCUCCUUUACUGCUCCUGAGACGUGCCAAUGACAUUGGCGUUUCAUCUCUUAUCAACUUCUUUAGACAUUCUUUGUUCCCAUCACUUAUUCCACUGAAAAUCUCCGGAGUCAUCUUAAUAUAUUCACCAGGGAGAGCGAAAAGAUCCGACAAUCGAAGGUUAGUAAGGAACUCUGGCACAAGUUCCGUGUCUGCCGUGUCUUCUCCAAUUUGAGAGAAAUCUUGUGAACCAAGUAUGUUCAUGGGAAGGUAUGUUCCUUUUCGUUGAUCAUAAGACGCAUCGGAUGAUAUUUGUGCCUCCAAUCUACCUAGAUCUGCUUCAGAACUGUCCAUCGCAAACCUGAAAUCAUCACACAGAUUUAAGUUACUAAGUUCGCCGACUACAAAAAAAAAAAGUCAACCAUUGCCUGAAGAGGGAGCGGAGAAAGACUUACCAAGUGGAAGAAGAAGAUCCGUAAUGCAAGAGGACUUGCUAAAGGUUGACGAGAUUGAGACAGUAAGUGUUUGUCCAAUUAAUAUUAAAAUGUCGUUAAUGUCUCCAUGUUCAUAAUGGUGGUCUCCCAUUAAUUAAGGGAAACACUUUCUUUAGUCAGAAAUAAUUAGGAGAAAUAUUCAAGACAAAGAUUAAAAAUGACCCGGUUUACUAACUCAUCAAGUUGUAAAUUAAAGACUUUGAUUGAAGUCGUCUCCUAAUAAAGUCUAAAUUUGUAUUUUGCUGGGAAUGGAUAAUGUGGCAACCAUGAUCCUGUAGCCCAACUACCCAAACCUACAAAAUAAUAAGCGAAGAUGCUCUGGUCUCCAAAUAUAAUACGGUGUUAUUAAUCCCUACUAUAGUAAAAGAGAAGUACACAAGGUAUUCGGGUCGGGUUUUUCAAAAAAUUCCGGGUUAAAUUUUCAAUCGGAUACUUGCCAAAUUUUUUGUUAAAUAUUUUUCAAAUAUUUUAAUAAUAUACACCAGAUUCCUAUCAUUUAGGAAACUAUAUUAAUGCUAAAUAAAAAUAUGUCUUAUAAGGAAAAUUUGUUUAUGAAUAUAAAGAUCUCAAUAUUUUAAAAAUAUUCUAAUUAUUAUAUUAAUUUCUUAUAUGAAAAAACAAAAAAAAAUUAUAAUUUUUUAUAAGUUUAAAUAUUUGAUAUAUAGAAAAAUAUAAUUUAAAAAUAUUUGGUAUAACAAAUAUAAAAAUGCAUCUAAAAUACAUAAAUAAUGGUAAUAUAAUCAAUAAAAAUGUUAAUUAGUUAAAUGUUUCGAAAAAUAAAAUUUGAAUAUAUAUGGCUAUAAAAAUGAAAGAUUUUAUUAAAGAUUUUAUAAAAACCGAAAGAUUUUAUAUAUAUUAAAUCUUUAUUAUUAUUUUUUAUAUUUCCUAAUAUGUUAAAUGAAAGAUUUUAAUCAGAAGAAAAAAAUAGUAUAUGAAAAGAGGUUUCAAAAUUAUUCCAAUCUUUAUCAAUUUGAAUUACCUAUAAAAAAAAGAAUUAUAUUUUAUCAUUAGCAUAAUUAAUGCGAAAUUAUAGAGAUCCAUAUAUAUCUAAAAAUGGUUAUAUUUGAAUUUUGAAAAAAAACAGAAAUUUGACAAUCAUUAAUAUAUUUCAAUGAGUAAUACGAAAUAUUUUGGAUACAAAAAAAAUAAUUAAAUUUUAGGAUAAUUAUUAUAAUUAACUAAAAAUACUUUAAUAACAAUAUUUUAUCUUUGUAAUUAUUAAUCAUCGAAUCACUACUAAUAAAAAAUCAGUCAUAAAGAAUAUAUUCCAUAAGUUAGUUUAAAUAAAUUACCUGAAAUUCUGAAUUUUCCUUAAAAUGUUCUAAAUAUUUUAAUAUGUGAAUAACAAGAAUAUUAUGGUCUCUUAUUCAAUAUGAAGUAUAUUAAUAUUUUUAUUUUAUUUUAAUAGGAUACAAGUAUAUACAAAUCUUUCAAACUCAUAUGUUCUUGUGUGAUACAUGUAUAUACAUGAUUUUCAUGAUUUUUCAAUAUCAUAUAUUUUCAUGAUUUUUUUAAAAAUACACGGGUUUUUCCUGAUUGGUUGUAAACAUUCUGAGUAUACAUUGUGAGUAUACAAUUUGUUUAGUAAACAUUCUUUUAUUUAGUUUAUAAAAAUAUUAUAUUUAAUUUCCGAAAACACACUUUUCUCAAAGAAUUGAAACCAAAUAUACGUUUCGAAAUAAUAAUUGUUGAUACUAAAAUGAACGAAAUAAUAACACAUACGACAAAACACGUUAAAAUAAAAUAAACCUGAAAAUAUUCUUUCGCGUUGUAGCGCGGAUCUGAACCUAGCAUACGUGACAAAGUACACAUACACGAUAGAACAUAUUCUCAUACUUGCCAAAUUCAACACCAACAAUCCAUUUUAACAGUUAAAAGUUUACGUAAUUCAGAAAAAAAAAAACAAAAACUGACACUUUUCCCCCGCGCUGUAGCGCGGGUCCGGGCCUAGUUAACACUGAUAAUGUGACAUAGCAGAAAAUUUAUAAACAACGAGCUAGCGAUCCAUUGAUUCUAAGAAACUUAUAAACAACGACCUAGUGACUUUUUUUUUUAUUCUAAGAGUCGGUAACAAGAAAUGAUUUGCACAUGUUACUAACAAAUCGUUUUUUUUUCAUUUUAGAUAAACCUUAUCGGCUGAUCCGAUUAACUCUGGUAGAAACGCACUGAUAUGAUUGAGAGUAGAUUUCUUUACCAACGACGAAUAUCGUUGUGUUGUUAAAUGAAAACAAUGUCCAAUUAAGCCUUGCGAACGCUGGUUCAAGGCGGAAAGAUGAUGCAUGCAAAUAUGUUUGUCUUGCAAGUAAUCAAUCAUGCUGAUCUCUAAAUUUUGAAUUAGAAGUUGAAGAAUGAUGGGAAAGUUGUUGGGUAAAAACAAUUCAUCACCAAGUGCUAAUAGAUCAAUUGGUAAAGAUCUCUGGCAGAAGCUUAGAGGUCGCCGGUUCGAGUAGCGCUUGGGACGAAACCAUAUAACAUGCUUUGGUUUCGGGCCUGAGGGGAUGUAUGGGAUUUGGCCCAGAACCUCUUUGAUUAUUCAAAAAAAAAAAACAAUUCAUCGAACUAUUGAUAAGUGCAAGCUUAUGUGAAAAGCACAUGUGAAGAGUUAAAAGAGAAGCAUGAGAAGAAUUGUGUAUAAAUAGGGUUGAGUAUCCCUUAUAAAUAAACAAGGCCUCACAAAAGAAAAAAACAAGAAAAAAUAAGGAGGAAAGACAAGAGACUUAAUAUUGAGACCACAACAAUCGACUCGAGCACACGACUAGGGUUCAUCUCAUGAUUGGUUGUGUAUUGAUUCGUUUCCUGUAUUUACCAUCGAUACACUGAUCAAUAAAAAAGAGACUAUUCGACAUUUAUUUCGUGUUUUAUGUAAACUAAAUAAAUCGAUUACUUUUACCUAAACAAUCAGCUUUAACAUAAUACAAGUACAAAUUAUUACUUUCUAAUAUAAUAACCGAGAAUCUAAUGUGGGUAAAUUGACCCGUGGUUGACCACGGGAUAAAUUCUAAUAUCCGCUUAAUAAGUUAAGUUAAUGCCUACGCUUUCCGCGAGCUAGUAAGUUCUUAACAAUCUCGUGCUUAGUGAAAUGUUAGCACAUACAUAUUGCUGCAAGUAAUAUACGGAUGGCUCUAUGACUGCUCCAAAGCAUCCGAGCCAUUCCCUUCUUUGAGUUCACUCUAUACUUCUGUUUCUUUCUGUUUUGUUCUAUGCACUGCCCAACAGUUUGGCUAAUUCUUUUUUUACCAAAGCAGACACUUUUGGCCGUAGCCGAUUUGGUUAAUUGCUAUAGUUGAGUAAUAAUUUUUUUUGGGGAAAGUUAAAAGAAAAAAACAAAAAAAAAUCGGGGAACAUUGGAGACCCAAUUCGCAAUUCCCAGACAUUCUUCAUCUCCUUCGUAAAUCGUCGAUUCAAAUCAGGCGUCGAAUUACAGCAAAAGCCCCAUCUCGUGGCUCCCAGAGAUGUCGUUAGGGCAAAAGAGUGCGACGGAUCCUGGUACGAUGCUCACUUCCCUUUUGAACAAGCGAGAGAAGCUUCGCCAAGAGUUACGGAGCAUCGAGAAACAGGUUAGGGGAAUUUGUAUGUUCUAGAGUUUAUUCGAUUCAAUUAGCACCGCGCAAAUGUUGAAUCGACCAUACUCAAAUCUUGGGUUCUUUUAUUUUCUAAUCUUUAUAGGUUUAUGAAUUGGAGACAAGCUAUCUUCAAGAAUCGAGCCAUAUAGGAAAUGCUCUAAAAGGGUUUGAAGGGUUUUUGUCUUCUUCCAAGAGUAGUGCUAGGUCUCUCUCUCUCUCUCAUUCUCUUUGAUUUUGUAGAAAAUUUGAUUCUGUUUAUUGAAAUUGAUUGCUUUUGCUUUAGAGAAUGUAGUAACUUCUCAGCGUUUAGUAUGUUUAUUGUGUGGAGGAAAGAGAGUGAUUGGUUUUGGUAUGAACCCAUUUUACAGUGCUAAGAGGUCAAGGAAGUUUCAGCCUGAAGACAGAGUCUUCUCAUUGUCCUCAGUCACUUCACCUGCUGUAUGUUUCUUUCACUUUCUCUCGAUGCAAAGACGGUUUUUCUUGUUUCACUUGUUUUUGCGGGAGAUCGAAUCACUGCCAAAAGAACCAAUUGUUUCCUUUAUAGUACGUAGUUUGGGUUGAGAAUACAGUUUCUUAAGAUAUGGUUGAUUACUAAAUGGCUGAUUUCUCUAAGCAGAUUCAAACUAGUGUAAAAGAUGAAUCAAUGAUGUGAAAGAGCUAGAGUUCUGUGAAAUGCCUUUGUGUCUUUGUCUUGCGACUGUCAUUUGUUAGUUUAUUACUCUGUCUUCUUUAUUCGAAAGUCGGUUGGCCUUCUUUAGUGAAAAAGGUGUUUGUUUUCAAGUGGUAGCUUAGAGUUAACCGCAGUUUUAAGACUUGUAUGUUGAUCUACCCUGGUCUGUAUUCAGGCGGAAGAGCUUGGUGUUGGAAGAGAAGGUAGGCCCUGCAGCUACACCUAUGCUGAAUUCACUUUUGCCUAUUAUGAAUCAGUUUAUUACAUGCUUUAUCUCUGAAUUAUAUAGAUGGAAGAGCUGAAUUGGGGCCAGGGCGAUCAAAGGGUGGUUUGUCGACGGCACAGUUAGUUUCCCAACCUUCCUUUACCUCGUUUAGACCUGACCCGUCCUAUACAUGAUUUUGGUUUGACCAAUGUAAUGAAAUUAUAGGGGAAAGCCAAAGAAAGGGAGAGGACAAUCGAUAGCCAGAGAGGCAAAGAGAAGCAGACCAUCUACAGAACCAGAUUAUGAAGAUGAAGAUGAUCCGGACUUGAAUAUGUAUGGGCAUGGCACACUCAUGUAAGACGUUUGACACAGUAAGAAACAAAUCCCGCGUGUAACCUUUCUUUUGCAUCCUAGAACAGAACAGAACCGAUCGAAGUAAGUCUAGGAAGUAGGAACUAAUGUGCCAGCUUUACAUCAUCCAUUAUUAUGAGGUUGCAGUGAGGGCUUUAUCAAAUAUUUUAAUCAGUGUCUAGAAAAGGUGAAAAACUACAUGAUCAUAUCAGUUUAUAGUCACCUUUUCAAUUACAAUAUGGAUGAAAGAAAGCAGUUGUAAGAAUGUGUAAGAGUGGAAUUGGUUGGCAUGUAUCAUCAUGAUUCAUCAUUUCUGAUUGAAGCUUAAAAUAGAAUUUGUUCUUCUGGGUCCAAACUUAGUUGUACUUUCUCUUUUCUUGCUUCUUUCUAUAUUACUUUUCUAAUAUGAAUUAUAAAAAUAAUUGCCAAAAUAAAAAUAUUAUAUUGUAAUGAAAUGAUCUAUGAAGAAAAGAAUGUUCAUACAUUCACAAAAAAAACAAGAGUGGUGAACCAUAUGUAUUCACAUUACAUGGAAAAAAAAAUGACGUGAAAAAGUUUGUUACCAUUUUUGAGAAUUCACCAAAAUUUUUAAACAAUGAAGAAAGAAUGAGAAAACAAAGUUCUUAUAGAAAAUUUAAAGAAGAAAAUGAAAACACAAUCAGGAAGAGUGUGAUCAAAUUCAAGCACUUCGUUUUAACCUUUCUUGGAAUUCAAGAAACGACCUCUCUUUCUCCAUCUUCAUACUUUCUCUAAACUUGUAGAUGAACUCGUCGGCUCUCUCGUCAACCUGCAAAUGCGGCGACGCAGCCACCACUCUCCUCCAAGCAUCUUCCAUUGAAUCAGCAAUCUCCGGCAUCCCUUCUUCGUCUUCUUCUUUUUUCUCCUCCUUUUUCCCAACAACUCUCUCUUUGCUCCCACUCGUCCCCUCACCACGUGAUUGGCUUUGGCUUUGGUUUUGGUUUUGGCUUUGGCUUUGGUUUUGGCUUUGGCGUUUGCUUUGGCUUUGGCUUUGGUAUUGAUAGAUUUGAGAGUAAUAAUCAUCAUCAUAUCCAUAGUGACGACGCUUUGGUUUAGUGCGAUCGCGAGAGAAAGCAUUGAGAAACUGCCGAGAACUUUCGUUGCCGCUAUAGUGAUAUUUGUCGGUGGUGUAGCUAUUGUUUUGAAGGUACCUUGUUCUGAAAGGAACGAUGAGACGGCGAGAGAUGAACCUGAGGACACGAGCCGUUGAGUUUCUGACCGAUGAAGCGAUCUCCAUGUCUCUAAAUUUAGACUUGACCAUGUUCGUGAAGUUCUUCCAUGCCCUCUUCGCUGGAUGUUGCUUCUUCUUUUGCCGCAACGAAGCCAUUCUAGAGCCCUUUACCCUUUUUUUUUCUUUUUCUUUUCUUGAAAUAUGUUUGGCCAAAUGUGUAUUAUUGUCAAGAAAUGGUUUAUAUUUUAGUUCUAGCUAGCCUUCUAGGCUCUUUCAUUUUCCUAAUUAAAAUACUAAAACAACAUUGCUUUUGGGUAAAAAGUAGGGAACAAAAAGUGAGUUCUCUUAGCUUACUCCGGAUGGCAAAAGAAAAUAAAAACUUAGAUUCUUGCUUAAAAAGAGCAUAUUGUUUUGCAUAUCUUCAGGUUAUAAAUCUGAAUAUAGAUUUUAUAUAUAUUUUGACUAAAGUUCUUCACAGUGUGUUUAAAGAUGGUAUGAACCUGAGUUGUUUUUGAAGCUCUGUAAAAGAUACAUGGAAAAUGAAAGUAAUGUUUCCAUGAAGGUGAAGAGACCCAUGUGAGAGAUCCGACCAAGGGAAGGCCCAUAAUUUUUAUUUGGAUAAUGACUAAUAAGUGUAAUUAUUGGAAUGGGACUGUUGAGCUAAUAAUUAUUAUUUUAACCAACAACCAAUCAAUCAAUCAUACUAUGCAUUUAUCUGCACAUUCCAAAAGAUUAUAAUUUAUUAACCAUAGCUUUAUAUUCCUUCUCAUAUGUACCAACCAAUUUGUUGUUUUGAGACUUGUCUUCGACAUUAUUUAUCUACUCUUAGUUAUAUGACUUCUGCCUUACAUUAGUUUCAAGGAUGAGGCUUGUGGAUUCCAUUGACAUCAAAGCAAUUUUUAAUUCGGAGAAAAAUACUAUUGAAAAGAAUUAAGAUCUAAUUAGUAAAAAAAUUAGUUUUAAGGAUGAGGCUUGUGGAUUCCAUUGACAUCAAAACAAUUUUUAAUUCGAAGAAAAUACUAGUGAAAAGAAUUAAGAUCUAAUUGGUAAAAAAAAUAGUUUUAGCGGUUUUGAUUUGUAUUAUUUUCUAAAUAGUCUUCUUCUUUAAAACCUAUUAUUUUGGAGGGGAUUUUUAUAUUCUUAUACCGGCUUAAUUUUCAGGAAUCUGUUUUUUUCGACUAACUUAUGUAAUUUCAUCCAUCGUUAAUAUAUUUUGGAUGACAAAAAAAGUUAUAAUAAGUUAAUAACGUUGUGUAAGAAAAUGUAAACAAAUUUAAUUCAAUUCAUUUUGUUUACACCAGCAUUUUUAACAUUGAGAUGUUCAUUUGAAUAUCUGUUAGAAAAUUAUAGAAAAACAAUUAAAAGUUAUGUAUGGCACAUCUUUAUUCUAUGCAAACUACAAGCCUCCACUUUCCAAAGGGGUUCUUGCCUUUUUUUUUUUUUUUUGGUAAGAUUGCAUUUUUUUUUUUCGUAGUGAUAAAACAUGGGUAAUUAUUUUCUUAGGCAACAAGUUAAACUACUCUCACUCAAACAAAAACAUGUAAUUGUUCUAUGCAAAUUCGGUUUCCAAAGUGCAUUUCAUCUAAGUAAGAGUCACAUAGAUAUCCCAAUUCUCACAAGUUACACCUAAAUGAGUUUAAAUCUCUCUUUUAUGAGCCGACAAAAAGGAAAAUAUUGGGCGUCCAAAAGUUGCAAUUGACGCUAAUUAAUAAACUCGAACGGUACUGAUAGUCAAGUAAAGUUGCGCUAACGAUAAAUUAAGAGAUUUUAUAAUUGCUCACGCAUUUGUUAAUAUGCAAACUCUUUGAAUAACAAAAUAAAAUUAAGUUCCUCCAUUACAAUAGUUUAGAAUUUAUAUGGUCAAAGUCAAACUAUUUAGUCACUAAAAUGAUCACCCAUAUAAAUCUCUCUUUCUAAAUAAGUCAAAAGUCAAUAUAACGGAUAAGCGUUUUACAAUUUCUCCUUUGUAUACAUCGAGAAAUAUUUGUGUGUAUGUGAUCUUGAUUCUUGAACUUUUCUCGCUAUUUUGUCUCAUGGCUUCUUCUUCUUCUUCGCCUCGCACUUGGAGAUACCGCGUCUUUGCAAGCUUCCACGGAGCCAACGUCCGUAAAACAUUUCUGAGUCAUUUACGUAAACAGUUUAACUACAAUGGGAUCACGAUGUUUGAUGACCAAGGGAUCGAGAGAAGCCAUACCAUCGGACCUGCUCUCACACAAGCCAUCAGGGAAUCAAGAAUCUCAAUCGUCUUGCUAUCGAAGAACUAUGCGUCUUCGAGCUGGUGCUUGGAUGAGUUGUUGGAGAUUAUCGAGUGUAAAGAAGCUAUGGGACAGAUCGUGAUGACAGUCUUCUACGGAGUAGAUCCAUCUGAUGUGCGGAAACAGACAGGAGAGUUUGGGAUGGCUUUCUCUGAAACGUGUUCCCGAAGUAACAAAGAGAAGAAGCGAAGAUGGAGUCAAGCUUUGAACCAUGUGGGAAACAUAGCUGGAGAACACUUUCAAAACUGGUUUGUCUGUUUUUUUUUUUUUUUUAAUUCUUUUAAUUAAUUUAGGAUUGUUAUACUUUCUUGAAAUUAUUCUCAUAUCAAUUUUUGUUUUAUUUUUCUCACUUGUUAGGGACAAUGAAUCAAAUAUGAUUGAAAAGAUUACUAGAGAUAUUUCAAACAAACUAAACACUACAAUCUCUAGAGAUUUUGACGAUAUGGUUGGACUUGAAGCACACUUGGAGGAAAUGAAGUAUUUGUUAGAUUUAGAUUAUGAGGAUGGAGCUAUGAUAGUUGGAAUAUGUGGCCCUGCAGGCAUUGGUAAGACUACCAUUGCUAGAGCUUUACAUAGUAUACUUUCUAGUAGUUUCCAGCUUAGUUGUUUUGUGGAGAAUCUUAGGGGAAGCUAUAGUAGUUGUCUUGACGAGUAUGGUUUGAAACUGCGUUUACAAGAGCAGCUACUUUCAAAUAUUUUAAACCAAAACGGUAUGAUGGUACACCAUUUAGGUGCUAUACAAGAAAGGCUAUGUGACCAAAAGGUGCUUAUCAUUCUUGAUGAUGUGAAUGAUCUAAAGCAACUAGAGGCUUUGGCUAAUGAGACUAGUUGGUUUGGACCUGGAAGUAGGAUCGUUGUGACCACGGAAGAUCAAGAGAUUUUGAGGCAACAUGGUAUCAACAAUACUUACCAUGUGGGUUUUCCAUCUAUAGACAAUGCUCUUGAGAUCUUUUGUUUAUAUGCUUUUAGGAAAAGCUCUCCUCCUGAUGGUUUUACAAAACUUACAGAAAGAGUAACAAGUAUUUUUGAUAACCUUCCAUUGGGUUUACGUGUCAUGGGGUCAUCUUUACGUGGGAAGGGGGAGGAUGAGUGGGAAGCUCUAUUAGACCGGCUAGAAAAUAGCAUUGAUCGAAAUAUCGAGGGAGCACUUAGAGUUGGGUAUGAUAGUUUACAUGAAGAAGAACAAGCUCUAUAUCUCCACAUUGCGAUCUUUUUCAACUACCACAAAGAUGAUUGUGUGAUGGCAAUGCUCGCUGACAGUUACUUCGAUGUCAAAAACGGUUUGAAAAUCCUAACCAACAAAUCACUCAUAUAUAAAUCUAGCAGUGGGGAAAUAGUAAUGCACAAGUUGCUACAGCAAGUGGGUAGACAAGCAAUUAAAAGACAAGAGCCUUGGAAACGGCACAUCUUAAUAGAUGCUCAUGAGAUUUGUUAUGCCUUAGAGAAUGAUACAGUAAGUUUUUUUUUUUCCUUCAGUUUAAGUUAUUCUUUGGUGAAUGUAAAAAGCAUUAUCUGUUGUGUUAUGCUAACAAAUUCUUCAUUUGGAGUGUCUUUUAGGAUACAAGAGCUACUUUAGGCAUAUCCCUUGAUACAUCUCAAAUCAACAAAGUUUUUAUAAGUGAGGCAGCUUUCAAAAGAAUGCGCAAUCUUCGAUUCCUAAGUAUUUAUAAUACAAGAAAUGUUAUAAAUGAUCGAGUGGACAUACCUGAGGACUUGGAGUUUCCACCUCAUCUAAGGUUACUACGCUGGGAGGCAUACCCAAGAAAUCCUCUUCCUACUACAUUUCAUCCGGAAUAUCUUGUAGAACUUGAUCUACAAGAGAGCCAUCUUGAGAAGCUUUGGCAAGGAACACAGGUUACAUUAUUUUCUUAUAUUUGAAUAUGUUACUUUUUACUCAUUGUGUUCUGAUGUUUUUUCCUUGCUUGUGUUUUAUCACUCAGCCACUCACAAAUCUCAAGAAAAUGGAUUUGACACGAUCCUCUUACUUAAAGGAACUUCCAGAUCUUUCAAACGCUACAAAUCUCGAGAGCUUGGAAAUGAGCCAUUGCAAGAGUUUGGUAGAGAUCCCUUCCUCUUUUUCAGAACUUCGAAAACUACAAACGUUGAUAAUACACAACUGCACAAAGCUAGAAGUUGUUCCAACUCUCAUCAACAUGGCAUCUCUUGACUUCGUCAACAUGUAUGGAUGCUCACAAUUGAAAAGUCUUCCAGGUAUAUCUAAGCACAUCUCAAGACUCGUUAUAGAUGACACAGUAGUAGAAGAACUGCCAACAUCAAUAAUGCUUUGCACUCGUCUUACGACUCUUCUUAUAAGAGGUAGUGGAAACUUUAAGGUAUUAACACAACUCCCUCAAAGUCUAACGUAUCUAGACCUAAGGUGUACGGGUAUUGAGAAGAUUCCAGACUGGAUCAAAGAUCUUCAUGCACUAGGAUUCCUUCAUAUAGGAGGCUGUAUAAAACUUAAAUCGCUACCACAACUUCCUCUUUCGCUCAGGUCGUUAAAUGCAUGUGAUUGUGAAUCACUCGAAAGUGUUACUUGUGCAACAAGCUUCAGUUCACAUGUGAACUACAAUUUCACCAAUUGCUUCAAACUGAACCAAGAAGCAAGAAGAGAUAUUAUCCAACAAUCCUUCUUUUCAGGGUUGAGAGUUUUACCAGGAAGAGAAGUGCCUGAAACGUUCAAUCACCAAGCUAAAGGAAAUUUCUUGACAAUCCAUCCAGAGAGAGGUAGUCAUUUUACUGCAUCCUCAACAUUUAAAGCUUGCAUUGUGAUUUCCCCUACCGGGUUGAUCACUACGGGGAGAAGGCUAAUCAGUUUAACGUGUCGUCUCAAAAGCAAAAAUGGUGACGUUAUCAACGAAGUUUAUCAUUGUUUUAGCUUACCUGAACAGUCCCCUGGAACAAAAUCAGAACAUCUUUGCUUAUUUCACAAUGACUUGCUAGACAGAGAUACAUGUUUUGAAGUGGACGACAGUGAGAUAUUGUUCGAAUUUAGCUGCACCCCUUCUGACGCCUAUGAGAUUGUUCAAUGUGGUGUUGGAAUAUAUGGAGAAGAAAUCCAACAAAAGAGCGACUGCAGCAAUGCGUCUAAAAGUAUUUCUGACCAUGGCCAUUAUACAUAUAGACAUACAUGCAACUUCAAAUCAGACAAGGUGUGUGAAGAAGCCAAUGUCCAAGUUCGCAAACGUAAGGGUUUUUGGAGUUGGCUACGUAGGAAAUAGCAUUUAUUUAUGUUUAUUUUCUGGUUGUUCUAUAGUAAAUACAAUAAUCAAAGAUUAGAACAACAAUUAAAAUAAAAUAAAAAGAAUUUUUCAUAUAUAUUCUUCCUCAUCUCCAUGAGUUGCUUUAGGGCAUCUCCAAAGGUUAACCCUUCUUAUGGGGUUUUAGAAAAUUUUUAUUUAUAAAUUUUGAUGAAUUGAAAGUUUAUCCGCUCUUUCCCUUCUUUAGUGUUUCGUUCUUGAUCUCUUUUCUUUUUUUAACAUAUCUUUUACGUUUAUAUAUGUUUUGAAUAAGAUCAGGUUUACUUGAUGUUUGUCUUGGACGUUAAUCUGAUAAACUGUAACUAUAUUGGCUUACAAGUUUGGUUUUAUUCUCGGCGUUAAGUUUAUUACACAAAUUUUUCUGGUCAUCUUCAAUUACUGAUGCAUAAUAAAAUUGGAUAAUUAGUAUAUUACUUGUUAAAAUCUCGCUCAAAUUCGGAUUGAUAUUUCGAUUUUCGAUCAAGAAGUAUAUUAUUAUUAUUAUUAUUAUUAUUAUUAUUAUUAUUAUUAUUAUUAUUAUUAUUAUUAAUAAUAUUAUUAUUAUUAUUAUUAUUAUUAUUAUUAUAUAUUAUGUUUUUGAAUAAAAUGUAAAAUUUAUUAGAAAAAUCGGUUUUUACAACUAAUGCCGCUUUUACUUAAACGGUUUGCAUGUUAUAAAAAUAGAGGAAUGAAAACAAAAUUUAGAAACUAAUCAUGAAAACUAUCUUGAAUCAUGCAUCCUCUUAAAUUUUCAUCUACUCGCUCUUGAACGGUGGAUAUAAGCUAGUAAAUUAUUUGUUAAGAAGUGGAGCCAAGUAGCCUGUGGGACAAAGUUUCGUAUGGAUCCAUGUGCAUUGCAGCAGUAGUGACUAUAGUUUCUAUAGUUUUUUUUAGUUUCUAAAAUAUUUGAGAUAAACAUGCAUUUUAUGUUUAUGCACAUAAAUUGUAUGACAUACUUAUAAAACAUAUGUGUAUUCUUAUAUAUAAUUAGAAAAUUGUACACUCAAUGAGUGGGUUAUAUAUGAAAUAUUAAUUUGAAAUAGAAUUUGAAAAUUACAUUAAGUUAUAUAUAGUUUAUAAGCAAUUGUUAAUAUAAAACAUAUUUUGUGUAUAUUAUAAACAGUAAAAGUAAAACAAAAAAUUAUUUGAAAAAUAUGAAACCGAAUGAGAUAAACAAAGUAAUACAAAAUUAGCACACACAUAAUAUAGUAGGAAACUGUUAAUUUCUGUUAAAUUUUUUCCCCGUAAAUUGUAAAUAUUAAAUGUAAACAAAACUCACAUUAUUUUAUGAGUAUUGGUUUAUCAUCUUAUUUUUUAUCAUUAGUUAAAAGUAAAUUUGAAUUUUAAAAAGAUCAAGUUAAACUUUGUAACAUGUCAAAUUAAAAGAUUUCACCUGAGAUAUAUGAUUUUUCUUAUAACUUAUUUAGAAAAGCUUUUUUAAUUUAGAUUAUAAGAGCUUUUAAACUAUGAUUAUGUAAACACUAAAAAGAGAAAGCAAAAGCAAACAUAACUUUGUUAUUUUUCAUUCUAACUGAUUGGAAAAAAACUCACAUAGGACGACGUAGAUGAUAUCCAUUUUUAUAUAUUAAAAAAAAUUAUGUAGAAUUUUUCAAGAAUAAAAUUAAUAUUGAAACCAUCUAAAAACGAACAUAAAGAUUUACAUUCCUAUAAAAGCUAAAGAAAUGAAUCCGUAUUAAAAAGGCAUAAGAAGUUUACAACAACAUUAACAAAGAAGAUGAAUGAUGAUAUCUAUCUAUUUUAUGUACAACAACAAUCAUGAACUGCUCUUAAGAAAUCAAUUUUAUGUUUGGUAUCUCUAGAAAAAUCUAACUUAGGGUAGAUAAAAUAAAUGGAUCUCAUCUACGUCCUCCUAUGUGAGCUUCAUUCAUACUCUUAAGUAUGAAAAAGUAAGUAUAAAAAGGAAUUAGUAAAAAAUUGAAACUAUGUUAGAUAUAUAUAUAUAUAUAUAUAUCAUACUUUAUAAAAUAAAUUUAGAUCAAAUUCUAAAAAUGAUAUUUUCAUUGAUUUUCAAUCCAUAUAAUAACACAAAGAUAGAAAAUUAUUUAAGAUACAUGAAUAUAGUGAAAGAAAAUGAGAGAGAGAGAGAGAGAUUAUUUAUAAGAUGAUAGUCUAAAAUAGACAAUAGAGAAGAACUUUUAUAAAAGAAAACAAUUUAAAGAUAUAUCAUAUAGUGUCUAAAAUUAAAAUUUAGAUUAAACUUUUACAAUAAUAUUUAAAUUUAUUUUUCAUCUCAUACACCAACAAACAACAAACAACCACCAACAAAACAAAAAAAAAUUAUAGAAGAUUUGAGAUAAAGUGGAAGAGUAUGAGGGAAUGAGAGAAUGAGUAUUUAUAAGAUGAGAAGCAAUGAGAGUUACAAUUUAGAAGAAAAAUUGUGGGAGUUAAUUCUAAUUUAUUAUGUGUUGACUAAAAUUGAGUAGGAGAAUUUCGUUAAUGCAAAUUUACAUUAUUUCUGUUUUUAUAUUAAAGUGUGAGUUGAAUGUAUAUGAUUAAACGUGGUCUAAUUGAAUAUAUAUAUUCAGUAUUAAUUAUUAAAGUGUAAGUUAAAUAUAAAGAAUGUUUAGAUAAAUAUAUAUGAUCAAUGUGUUUUAUUGAAAUUUUUUUUUUCAAUUUUAUAGGAAAAUGUGUGUUCAAUAUAUAUAAUUAAAGUUGUUGUAUCUUUGUGUUUAUAUAUAUAAAUAUGAUUCAUUUUAUUAUAAAAUACCAUGUUCUUUCUUAAUUUUAAUGAUAGAAGGAAAAUAAUAAAAAUGUAAUAAAAUUGUGUGAAGUUGAUGUUUUAAUUAUGCGAUAGUAAAUCUUAUAUAUAUAUAUAUAGUGUGUGUGUGUGUGUGUGUGUGUGUGUGUUCAAUUUUAUAUCAUAUGCAAUAUGAGAUCUUACUUUUAUAUGUAUAUGUCAAGUGUAUCAACAAAAAACAGAUUUAGUUACAUAUUUUGCUUUAUACAAAUGAAUCUUGGAUCCUAAAUAAUAAUUUUACUCAUAAUAUUUUUUUUUAAUUGUUACCUAAGUAUAAAUUAAGGUUGACAUAAAUUUUAAAAUCAAUAGUUAAAAAUAAAAAUGAGAAAAAAAUAAAUAACACAUGUUAUCAACAGAAAGCGCCAAAUGUCGUAAAGUGAGAAAAAGUUAGAAAAAAAACAUAAGAAAAAAAAAAAACCUUGUUAUAUUAUACAAGAUUGUUUUGUUAUUCUGGCUUAGUUCCAAAACAGUGACUCGAAGUCCAAGGGAGUAGUAGUGACCGAUCCCACUCCUAAAUAUAGACAUUUGCAAGCACCAAAACACCCACCAAUGUAUGUGUUUUCGUAUUUAUUGUGAUAACACAGUAUAUAUGUAAAAUAAAUAAGUAAUAGGAAUUAGGCUGAGAGAGAAAUGUGGAUGGAGAAGGGGAAGUGCGGUAAAGUCUGAGGUUAUUUGCAUGAGAGCUUCAAACACUCCUAAAAUGGCGAUCUUCCUUUAGAAACUCUCUUUUCUCUUUCUUACGUUUAUUCUAAACCACUCUCCUGAUUUCUAGGAUCAUUAUUGUCACUGAUCAAACGUAACUCAUCUUUUUUUUUUUUUUUCUUAAUCUUUCUUAUUGGUUAGUUUCAAAGAUCAAUAUUGUGUUUACACUUUUGAAACAAUAAGGGGAUUGAAUGAGCUUAGUAGUGGAUCAAGUUGGAGAAGGAAUUGAAGACGAAUGCAUCUAUGAAGACAGGUGAAUCAAACCACCUGAUGCUUCUUGAGCUUAUCCUUUCUCUUCGGCUUUUUCCCUUCGGGUUUUCUCAGAUGGAAUGGCAGAUCCUUCUAGCUAUGUCAAUCACGAGCGUGACAUCGACCAAGUUUGUUUCUCUCCUAACUUCUUCUUCUUUCUUCUUUUUUUCCCAUUCUUUGAAUUCACAUGCAAAAGCUUUUCUUCUCAAUUACAUAUGUGCAUUGUUUUGUAGGCACUCAUUGCUUUGAAAAAAGGAACUCAGUUACUUAAGUAUAGCCGCAAAGGGAGGCCUAAAUUUCGCUCAUUCAGGCUUUCACCGGUAAUAUUUCUAAUAAGUGAAUUUCUUGUGUAUCAAGAUUUGUUUGACUUGUUACAACUUACCACGUACGCUUGAACAGGAUGAAGCAACAUUGUUUUGGCUCUCACACGGAGAAGAAAAAGGUUUGAAGUUAUCUACAGUUUCGAGAAUUCUCCCUGGACAAAGAACUGUGAGUAUAGUGUAAACCAAAUCUUACUUUGUUAACUAUCUUAUUACCAAAACUUACUUUGUUAAUAACUAUCUUAUUUCCAUGGAACUCACACAUCUUGUUUUAAUUUGUUUAUACGUACUUAGGCUGUUUUUAGGAGAUAUUUACGUCCAGAAAAGGAUUACUUGUCAUUUUCUCUCAUAUAUCACAACGGAGAUAGAUCUCUUGAUUUGGUUAGUAAACUAUAUUAACAUAUUAAAAUUUCUUUGAUUGCCUUCUUAUUCUCUUUUAAUAUUAUCACAUGUGGGAUCAUGUUCACACUUCACACAGAUUUGCAAGGACAAAGCUGAAACAGAGGUUUGGUUUGCAGGACUUAAGUCUUUAAUUAGACAAAACCGUAAUAAGCAGCACGUUAGAAGUGAGAUCCCUGAGGUGUGUGGUUCUAUUUGUGACUUUAUAUUUUUUUCUAUGUAUUAUUUUGUAACUUUUUGUUAAUCAACUCAUUUUUCAGAUAUAUGAUAGUGAUUGUUACUCUAGUGGUCGUCCUUCUACUGCAUCAUUAGAUUUUGCACCAAACAAUACACGACGAGGAAGAACAUCUAUUGAUUUAGGAAUCCAGAACUCUCCAACAAAGUUUGGUAGCUCAGAUGUGGGAUAUGAUCGUGGAAACAUGCUAAGACCAAGUGUUGAUGGCUUUCGAAUUAGUGUCUCAAGCACACCAAGCUGUUCAACUGGAACGUCUGGUCCUGAUGACAUAGAAUCGUUAGGAGAUGUUUAUGUCUGGGGAGAAGUUUGGAGCGACGAGAUAUCGAAUGAUGGGUACACGAGAACCGUAAAAACAGAUGUAGUGAUUCCAAGACCCUUGGAAUCAAACGUUGUUCUUGAUGUUCAUCAGAUAGCUUGCGGUGUAAGGCACAUCGCUCUUGUGACAAGGCAAGGUGAAGUCUUUACAUGGGGAGAAGAAGCUGGAGGAAGGCUUGGACAUGGUAUUCAAGUUGAUGUUAGUCGUCCAAAACUUGUAGAGUUUCUUGCUCUUACCAACGUAGAUUUUGUUGCUUGUGGUGAAUAUCACACUUGUGCUGUGUCCACCUCUGGAGAUAUAUAUACUUGGGGAGAUGGAAUUCACAACGUUGGGCUGUUAGGACAUGGGAGUGAUCUUAGUCACUGGAUACCAAAAAGAGUCUCUGGUCCUGUGGAAGGACUUCAAGUCUUAUCUGUGGCGUGUGGCACGUGGCAUUCUGCGCUUGCGACUGCUAAUGGAAAACUAUUCACGUUUGGUGAUGGAGCUUUUGGUGUUCUUGGACAUGGAGAUAGAGAGAGUGUUUCAUACCCUAAAGAAGUGAGGAUGUUGAGUGGCCUUAAAACCAUGAAAGUAGCUUGUGGAGUGUGGCAUACGGUAGCUAUAGUUGAAGUUAUGAGUCAGACUGGUACAAGUAUGCCAUCUAAAAAGCUGUUUACUUGGGGUGAUGGUGAUAAACACAGGUUAGGACAUGGAAACAAAGACACUUAUCUGUUUCCAACUUGCGUCUCUUCACUAAUUGACUACAACUUCCACCAGAUAGCUUGUGGUCAUACAUUCACAGUUGCACUCACAACUUCAGGACAUGUUUUCACUAUGGGAGGGACUUCACAUGGUCAGCUCGGUAGCUCAAUAUCAGAUGGUAAAUUGCCUUGCUUGGUUCAAGAUCGAUUGGUUGGUGAAUUCGUUGAAGAAAUCUCUUGUGGGGAUCAUCAUGUUGCUGUGUUGACAUCAAGAAGUGAAGUCUUCACUUGGGGAAAAGGUUCAAAUGGAAGACUAGGACAUGGAGACAAGGAAGAUCGAAAAACGCCGACAUUAGUUGAAGCUCUAAAAGAGAGGCAUGUGAAGAGUAUAUCAUGUGGCUCUAACUUCACAUCAAGCAUUUGCAUCCAUAAGUGGGUCUCAGGUGCUGAUCAGUCAGUUUGCUCUGGCUGUCGUCAAGCAUUUGGGUUUACGAAAAAGAGACAUAACUGUUAUAACUGCGGUUUAGUCCAUUGUCAUGCAUGUAGUUCCAAGAAAGCUUUGAAAGCAGCAUUAGCUCCAACUCCAGGGAAGCCACAUAGAGUAUGUGAUGCUUGUUACACAAAACUUAAAGCUGGAGAAUCUGGUUAUAACUCUAAUAUUUCUAAUAGAAACUCCACAACUCCUACGAGGUCACUAGAUGGGUCGGCAAGACCAGACAGAGAUCUAAGGACGUCAAAGAUUUUAUUGUCCCCAAAAACAGAACCAGUCAAGUAUUCUGAGGUUAGGUCAUCAAGAUCUGAAUCUUCUAUUGUCAGAGCCUCACAAGUUCCAGCUCUCCAGCAACUUAGAGAUGUUGCAUUCCCAAGCUCGCUUAGUGCAAUUCAAAAUGCCUUUAAACCCGUUGCCUCAACUUCGACGACACUUCCCUCAGGCACAAGAUCAUCAUCAAGAAGAUCGAGCCCUCCACGCAGUUCUGGAUUUUCCAGGGGCAUGGUUGAUACUUUGAAGAAAUCAAACGGUGUUAUAAACAAAGAAAUGACAAAACUGCAGAGCCAGGUUUGUAAUAUUAUCUCAAAUUCUCAGGUUUAUGACACAUUAAACUCGAUCUAACACAUUGAUAUAUACACUUUCAGAUUAAAAAUUUGAAAGAGAAAUGUGAUAAUCAAGGUACAGAGAUCCAAAGACUAAAGAAAACAGCAAGAGAAGCUUCUGAAUUAGCUGUAAAGCAUUCUUCAAAGCAUAAAGCAGCAACAGAGGUCAUGAAAUCUGUCGCUGAACAUGUAAGUUCCUUAUAAAACAUACUUACAAGAUUGUUUUUCUUGAACAAUACGUUACAAAAUGAAUCACUGUUUUAUUUAUUACAGUUGAGAGAGUUAAAAGAGAAACUACCUCCUGAAGUAUCUAGAUGUGAAGCUUUUGAAUCAAUGAAUUCUCAAGCCGAAGCCUAUCUAAAUGCGAGCGAAGCAUCUGAAUCAUCUUUACCUACAACAUCAGGUCAACAAGAACCAAAUCCUUCUGCAAACACACGCAAUCAAGAAGAACAACCAUCAUCUAGUGGAGGUAGCAUGAGGUCUCAAGAACCUUCAAACAUGGCAGAGACAUCAUCAGAAGCUUCAUCGCCGUCUAAAUCAGGAGGCAAAGAACUUAUUGAACAAUAUGAACCUGGUGUUUAUGUUACUUAUGUACUGCACAAAAACGGAGGAAAGAUCUUUAGAAGAGUUAGAUUCAGGUAUUCUUUUAAAUAACUUCAUCAAAUCAUAUAUACCUCUCUCCUCUCUAUCUAGAUUUGUGUAAAAACUGAGUUUUUUUUUUUGCAGUAAGAGAAGAUUUGAUGAGCAACAAGCAGAAGAAUGGUGGAGUAGCAAAAAAGAUAAGUUGCUUAAGAGGUAUAGUAAUAAUAAUGCUUCAACAUCAAGUCCAGCAGCUUCUGAUUCAUCAGUUCCUACACCAACUCCACCUCAACCACCAGCUUCUCCUACACAACCAAAUUCUGAUGAUCAAACAGAGGAUUCAAAAGCAGAUCCUGAAAGCUAGUAGUCAUCAUGUGUGUGUGUACAAUAUCAGUUUUGGCAAUAUAGAUUGAGAAACAAGGCAUAUCAUUGGAAUGUCACUAAUGUAGAUUCGAGUCAUCCAACAUUAUACAAAUUAAAAACUACAUAGACUUAUUGUUUUUAUUUCGACUUUUAGGCUCACCUUUUAUGUAACAAACACGUUUAAAGAUUUUUUUCUUAGUUGUGAAACAAAUCUUGAUUUAUUGUUUUAAAAAAAAUUGAAGCAUAAAGAUUAGUAAAACAUCUUCAAGAAUUAGUGGUAUUAUUGUAAUCAUUAGUCAACUCCAAAAGUCGAAAUUUUUGUUUUCUUUAUUAUUACCAGGUCAAUGGUCAACUCCAAACUUUUCUUGGAUACUUCAUUGUUCUUGAAAAGUCUUAAGCGCAAGUAGUCUUUUGUCUUUUGUCUUAUUGAAGCAAUCAUAUAAUUUCUUGGUCAUUGCUACGUGUUUUCCUAGUCGUUUCGUUGAAAUUUUUUAGUUUCGCAAUUUCUUGUAGAUUUAAACUCAAGGCAAUAACUUUUAACUCAUCACCUAUAUAUAGAAGAUCUUGCUUUUUCUAUUCUUAUAGUAAGUUUUAUUCAUUUCUGAAAAUUGAUAUUUCAAGUGCAUUAUAGAAAAUGGGGCAACAACAAUCACAGUGCAAGGAAGAGCUUCUGUUUCAGCAAGUGGGUUACAACGAUAUCGAAGCUAUCAAAUCUCUUCGCUGUGAAGGAGCAGGACUUGAGGUUCUUUAAUUUCUUCCUCUCUACAUAAUCUUUUUUUUUUUUUUGUGUUUAAAAUUUAAGUUUAUUGACCAAAUCCUCUUUAGUGUUGUUGUUGUUUUCUGAUUUUUUUUAACUUUUGGUUUUUGGAAUGCAGUGGGUGGAUAAGUUAGGGAGAACACCAUUAAUCUCAGCUUGUAUGAAGGAAGAUCUAUAUGAUGUAGCAAAAACUCUGCUUCAGUUGGGUUCUAAUGUCAAUGCUUAUCGAUCCGGUAUUGCCAUAAUCAAGAAUCUUCUUUCUCAUUUGCCCACUUUCUUGUUUUUUGCAAUGUUGGUGCUUAUACGAAUGUGGACAUUUUGUUGGUAUCAGGAGGAGGUAGCAAUAGUGGGACUCCUCUGCACCAUGCUGCAAAAAGAGGUCUUAUAAACACGGUUAAGUUACUUCUCUCUCACGGUGGUAAGUGUUUGGUUUGAUAUCUUCUUUGCCAAUUUUUAUGAUAGAAAAAUCUUUUUUCACUUAUAUUGCUGUAUUAUGUUUUUUCUCUUUGGCAGCAAAUCCACUGAUUUUGGAUGAUGAUAUUCAGACAGCUCUUGAGGUUGCUAGAGCUGAAGGUCAUUGCAGUGUUGUACGUGCAAUCGAGGUAUAUGCUUGCAUUAACACUUCUUUCGACAUUUUCUGCAGCAUGGAAUUGAGUCAUGAGGUCUAACUUUAAAACUGUUGAUUCUGUAGAAUCACAUCUGCUUGUUCUCUGGUUGGAUGCGUGAGUUUUAUGGCCCAAGCUUAGUUGAAUACUUUGCUCCUGACUAUUUUUCAAGAAGAGUGUGAGUAUCCAACUUAAACUACACCAUUUCAUUCUUUAUGUUUGUUGAACAUGAAUAUGAAUCUUCUUCCUCUUUGGAAUAUAUAUGUAUUUGCAGAUGGGUAGUUGCCGUACCAACUGGUUCAAGAAACCCUGCAAAGCCUUUCAAGUUGGAGUUGGCUGUGUAUGAUAGUCAAGAGGUACUACAAAAUUCAUCAUUUCAUCAUUGUUUGUUUCAAGUUUUGAGAUUUUAUAUUCUUAUGAAUACUCUGUUUUACAAUUUAGGAUGCAAAACCAAGGAUAGUGGUGCCAUUGUGGAAAGCCAAUAUGGAUGAACCAAAAUUAUCACAGUCUGAUGAAACAGUGAUGAUUGUUGAGAAUUGCAGAAGGCAGAGACUAGAGAGCUCAGUAGUUUCUCAGACGAGGCGUUGGGUUCAAGUCGAUAGGCGUAAGUGUACACUACUUUGUACUACUCUUUAUUCUUUAACAUUCAGUAACCAUAAAAAAAAAAUCGUCUAGUUGUUAUAAACUCAUGAGUUUCUUAUCUUUCUUUCAGAAAUAUGUCUAAAGCUGGCAGCUGAGACCAAAGGAGACAAGAAACAGCUGAACUGGUUUUGUGAGGCAUGUAAAGGAACUCCACAGGUAUAUACUUCCACAACCUCUGCUUCACCUCAGUCUGCAAUGAGCGAGAUGUCAAUGCCAAAUCAUCCUUCUAUAAAAUAUGAGGGUAAAGAAGAUAGAGCGUGUGUGAUUUGUGCGGAUGCAUCAGCUGAAGCAGCGUGUGUGCCGUGUGGACAUGUUGCUGGAUGCGUUUCUUGCUUGAAAAAGAUUAGAAACAAGAAAAUGGGAUGUCCUGUUUGUCGUGCCAACAUUGAUCAGGUCAUUAAGUUGUAUCAUGUCUGAAUAAAAAAGGACCAUCACGUAUCUCCUCAGUGGCUGGAAGAUAGUUGAACCUAUCUCCUAUUUUUUUUUUGUGUGUGGUUGUCAUAUUUUUUUGUAGUUUGUAUUAGUCAGUAUCCUACUCAACUUCCAAUGUGGCAUAUUGUAUCCCUAGUAGUUUGUAAUGAAGUCAAAGUUGUAUGUUUGUCUCUUUUAGUGUUAUGAUAUACAGUGUUUUUAGAGUCUUUCACCCUUUCUUUUAUGUCCAUUUUGAGUCGUUUAUCGUAUUUUAGUCCGUCUUUCGUGUCUUUCAAGUCGUGUUUUGAGUCUUGAGCAGGGGAUAAGCGGUUGGAGCAGAAUUGACGCGUUUUGGACCAGUUUCGGGCAAGGAAGUGGAAUUUUAGCUGAUGCAGAACAUGGACCGAUCGGUCCAUCACCCAGACCGAUCGAUCCGACCGGACGGACAUUCCAGGAACAAAACGAUCGAUCGGUCCUCACUUCCGAUCGAUCGAUCCUAUCACCCGGACAAGAUCCGGCGCCUAAAGACCGAUCGGUCCAUCUGUUAGACCGAUCGGUCCAUUCCAAUUUCGGUUUCCUUAACCGGAGUUAACUUCUAUUUUCUUCGGUAAUGGGUAUUAAAACCCAAAAAGACCUGUUUUUCAUGGUACGUUUUUCACAGCAGUUUUUCUGAGUUUAGUCUUGUAAGCAACAUCUGGGAUAGAGAUUGAUCCUCUUUGACAAUUUGGAGAAGAUUUCUAAACCUUUUUCUUAUUCUAAUCUAUUGAAUCAUGUUUCCUUUAAAAUCUAUUUGCUUUGUUUCAAUUGUUAUGUCUAAGUAGUCUCUAAAUUGGGUUUUAGGGUUUCAAGUAGGAGAAUUCAAUGAUUUGAUAGAUUAGAUGUCUUAGGGAAUUCUUAAUCAUUAGGUUCUUCAAUUUACAUGUUCUCAAUGAUAGAAUAGGAUUGAUCACCCUGUUUUAGAACUUAGGCUUUUAUGUGUUUCAGAGAUAUCUUAUGUUUCUUUUUUGUUGAAUCUUCUUUUAAAUAUAUGUUUUCGCAGAUGGGUAGUUGUCGUACCAACUGGUUCAAGAAACCCUGCAAAGCCUUUCAAGUUAGAGUUGGCUGUGUAUGAUAGUCAAAAGGUACCACAAAAUUCAUCAUUUCAUCUUUUUUUGUUUCAAGUUUUGAGAUUUUUUAUACUUAUGAUCAAUCCUCUGUUUUACAAUUUAGGAUGCAAAACCAAGGAUAGUGGUGCCACUGUGGAAAGCCAAUAUGGAUGAACCAAAAUCAUCACAGACUGAUGAAUCAGUAAUGAUUGUUGAGAAUUGCAGAAGGCAGAGACCAGAGAGCUCAGUCAUUUCUCAGACGAGGCGUUGGGUUCAAGUCGAUAGGCGUAAGUGUAAACAACUUUGUGCUACUCUUUAUUCUUUAAGAUUCAGUAACCAUAAAAACCUUUUAUACUUAAGUUUCUUUUGUUUUAAUCUCCUUUUUUUCUUUCAGAAAUAUGUCUAAAGCUGGCAGCUGAGACCAAAGGAGACAAGAAACAGCUGAACUGGUUUUGUGAGGCAUGUAAAGGAACUCCACAGGUAUAUACUUCCACAACCUCUGCUUCACCUCAGUCUGCAAUGAGCGAGAUGUCAAUGCCAAAUCAUCCUUCUGCAAAAUGUGAGGGUAAAGAAGAUAGACAGUGUGUGAUUUGUGUGGAUGCAUCAGCUGAAGCAGCGUGUGUGCCGUGUGGACAUGUUGCUGGAUGCGUUUCUUGCUUGAAAAAGAUUAAAAACAAGAAAAUGGGAUGUCCUGUCUGUCGUGCCAACAUUGAUCAGGUCAUUAAGUUGUAUCAUGUCUGAAUAAAAAAGGACCAUCAUGUAUCUCCUUUGUGGCUGGAGGAUUUUGAAUCUAUCUCCUAUUUUUCUAUGAUUGUCAUAUUUUUGAAGUUUGUAAUGAAGUCAAAGCAGUCGGAAUAUAGUGGACGCAGCAAGUGCAUGUAUUGUUUGUCUCUCUCUUUCUGUGUUACAAGCUAGUUUAAUCAGAGUUUUAUCCUCUUCAAUGUUACUUGCUUCAUGUCUCUUAGUCCAAAUAUAGAACACUUGGUACGUAAGUGUAGAUGGCAUUUAGAACAAAACUAUAAAAACCAGGUUUCGAACAUGGAUUUAGCUAAAAAUGGUAUAGAGAUAGGACCACUACACUUAUCCUUUAUCAUACUGCAUAACUAAAUUAACUAAAUUAGAUUGCAUUUCAAGAAAGACACUAAGGGGGUGUUAUUGGUUGUUUAAGUUAAAUUCAACUCUAUUAGAUUUUAAAAUUCAUAAGACUUUCAAAAUCUGUGUUCAUUGAUACUGAUUUAAUAUUAUUCAUUCUUUAAAUCAGUGGAAUUGUAUUUACACUGACACAUGAUAUCUUUUGGUUUUGAACAAUAGAAUUGAAUUCUAUAACAAAUGAUUUUACAAUUUUCAAUGAAAUUAUACCAAACUUUUAUCAUCACGUAUUUUUUUCCCAUUUCAAAUUUCUGUAGUGAAGUCUUAACAUAUCUUUUAAAGAUGAAAAUUAUUUUAUUUUUUGUUAAAGUGAUCAAAUGAAUCAUACAACAACUGUUAAAACAAAUAUACACAUUAAUUAGGGAUAAAAAAAAAAAAGACUGGGAAAAAAUGAUAAAGAGAGAUACAUAUGUGUUGGGUCAUGGGUGAAUGAGUUUGUAAAUAUUGAUAAUGUACGUGUAUUACGUUCAAUGAAACUUUUAUUAAUUUAUUAUUAGAUUGUCAAAUCUCAUGUUAGAAGAUUGGUUUUCGGAUUAACAUAAUUUACACAUGAAAUCAGUUUCAGAUUCACUCAAAGCUUUUCAAAUGAAUUCAUUUGUGAAAAUCCACCAAACUUGAAUAACAUAAGACUUUCGUUAAUAAUUGUAAGUAUAAGAACCAAUAACACUAGAUUUUAAACUCUUUUAAUGAAGAUUUUGCAAAUAUAAGAACCAAUAACACUAGAUUUUAAACUUUUUUAAUGAAGAUUUUGCAAAUAUAAGAACCAAUAACACUUGAUUUGAGUAAAGUAUUUAAAAUCAUUGAUUAAAUAACAUUAGACUUGGGUUAGAGUUAGACUCUAUUAAAAUUCAUUAUCCAAUAACACCCACUAAAAAUAGAAAUCAGUAAUAAGUGGAUUCUUGCUUUUAAGAGCUUAACAAGAUAGAUUAAUAAGAAAGCUUAUUAGUGCUUUAUUUAGUGCAAGAAAAAAUGAUAAAGAAAAGGGGAAAACACCAAACAAUGACAUUUCUCUCUAAGAAAGAGAAUUGCUUAAAAUGGUUACAGUUCAUUGUUCUCAUAACAAUCAAUUUAUACUAAUCUACUUGUAAAGAAUUCCUAAACACAUGGGUUAGUUGACACUAUAUUGGACUUAUGUUAUGAAUGCUUAAAUAAAUAAAAGAAAUUUCCCUCUCUCUUUCAUCGAUUUUUUAUAUAUAAAAUAAAUUACACCGUAUAUAUCUUACUAUUAAAUCGUAUCGUGAUAACUCAAACCCCUUAUUAAUCAUCCGUUUUUUCGAUUCUUUUUUAUUUUCAAACAAUUACAUAAGGUUUUCGUUAUUAAUUUGAAUAUAGAAUUUUAUUUGGAAAACACCACAAUAAUAUUUAAAAGCAACCACAUAUUCGAUUAUCAUUCUCGUAUAAAUGUUCUUUUAAAGUUAUAAUAAAACGAUUAUGUGACAAAAUUAUACACUUUUCUAAUAGAAAUAAUUUUGAUAAAUUCCUCUCAAUGUACAACUAAAUUCUGAAAGAUUAAUUAUGUUUUUUUUUUUGUUUUUAUUCAAUUUGCAAGCAAAAAUAAAUAAAGUGAAGGUGUUAGUUAAUAUACAAAAUUACAAACCAUCCCAAACAUGAGUUUUAAGAGUUAGAGAACGCCGACAAAAACUAGAUUGAUGGAUGAUGAUAAAAUAAGUAAAAACAUAUAAGCCGACGAAGCAAAUAACGACCUCCACCGAUCCUCUCUCUUCUUCACUUGCAGUGUCGCUGCCCAUUUUCACACAGGAGACAAAAAAAAAAGCUGGUCUUUUUCCUAAUUUAGAAGAUAGAGAGAGAAACCCAUCUCUUCUUUUAGAUCCGAGUCUCUCUCUCAAUCUCCUUGUUUCUUUCUCUCUAUCGAUUUUACAAUACACUGCUGAUUAUAUUGUCUCUCUCAAAAUCAAUUACCUUUUUUGGGUUAAUUGGGUAAGUCCCUCUUUUGAUACUUUUUCUCUGAGGCUUUCGCUCGAUUUCGUUGUUGAGAGAUACGAAUCUGUUGUUUUUGUUUGGCUGUAUGAUGCUUUUGACUGUGUCUGUCAUUGUUACUUGUCUGUUUGGAUUAUAAUAUGGUUUGAUUUGAAUUGGUAUCAGUGGAUAAUGUAUUUUUAAUGGGUCGAUCCGAGUUCUGUUUCCAUAGCACUUCUGUUUCUCACACCAGAUCUGUUCUGUUCUGUCCUAGUGGGAAAGAUUCGGACCAAAUAGUUUAUCAUACAGCACACCAAAUUCUAACUAGCCAAUGAGGAUCAACUGUUUUGUUGGUAAUUGAGUUCUUACUUAUCUACUCAAAUGCCAGAGUAUAUGUUGAUGGUUGGAUACUUGAGUUUCUUUCUCUAAGUGAUCGAUCAUUCUAAGUGAGUAGUGAGUAGUAUAACACAUUUCUGUGUUUUUUUUUGUGGUUUGGUAUUUGAAUGGUUAGAUUUGGUAUGUGUGUGCGUGCGUGUGUGUAAGUUUUGAGUUUUAUGAUAAUUUGUUUAGUAUGCUUGUCCUGAGUUUAUAAAAUUAAUCAUGAUUACAGAUACUGAUCAUUGUCUUUGUUUACAUGGAACAGAUUCAAUUUUUUGUAACUAGUGAAGAAUCAUCAAUUCUUUGUACUGGAUUCUUCACUUACUAGUAGUAGUCUCCAUCCAUUAAGCCGUAACAUUAAAUCUCCAUUUGGCUUUACCUCAAAUAAAAAGGCGAUGAGGGGAAGAUCGGAUGGAGGGCAAAAGAAGAAGGUGAUUGCUUUGGUCUGCAUUGCAGCGGUUGUCCUUGUUUUCGUUUAUCUGUUCUAUGGCUCCUCUGAUCAUAGAGCAUCAGCUAUUGAAUAUGGGAGAAAACUAGGGUUGGGUGGGGAUGAUGAUGAUACUAAACAGGACGACACUUCAAGCUCGUUUGGUCUUGACGAUGGUUUCACGCCAAGAAGUUUUCCGGUGAGCCUUUAGUAUUUUCUCAUUUCUUCUUCUUUUUUCUGUAUUGAUGAUGGUUACGUUCAAGUGGUAAAUGUUAUUGUGCAUUUUUUUUAUCUUCCUAGGUGUGCGAUGAUAGGCAUUCAGAGCUUAUUCCUUGCUUAGACAGGAAUCUCAUAUACCAAAUGAGACUGAAGCUUGAUUUGUCUUUGAUGGAGCAUUAUGAACGCCAUUGUCCUCCUGCUGAAAGACGAUUCAAUUGCUUGAUUCCUCCUCCUAAUGGAUAUAAGGUGGAAUAUAUUUUCCGGUUCUAUUGUUUUUAUAUGAUCAGUGUCUUUUCAUAACUGUUUUCUCUUCUAAUAUGUUAUAGGUUCCUAUUAAAUGGCCAAAAAGCAGAGAUGAAGUAUGGAAAGUGAACAUACCUCAUACUCACCUUGCACAUGAGAAGUCUGACCAAAACUGGAUGGUUGUCAAAGGAGACAAGAUUAACUUCCCGGGUGGUGGCACUCAUUUUCACUAUGGGGCUGAUAAGUAUAUUGCAUCAAUGGCAAAUGUAAGGCAGUUACUUGGUUUUGUAAAAAAGAGCAUAUAUUAUUUUUCAUUAGUUGAUUGUAUUUUCGGAAAUUUCAGAUGCUUAACUUUCCAAACAACAUUUUGAACAAUGGUGGAAGGCUAAGGACAGUUUUCGAUGUUGGUUGUGGUGUUGCGAGUUUUGGAGGUUAUCUUCUAUCUUCGGAUAUCUUGGCAAUGUCCUUGGCUCCAAAUGAUGUGCAUCAGAACCAAAUCCAAUUUGCUCUUGAGAGAGGGAUUCCUGCUUCCCUUGGUGUGUUAGGGACAAAGAGGCUUCCAUACCCAAGCAGAUCUUUUGAACUUGCUCACUGUUCGCGUUGCAGAAUCGAUUGGCUUCAAAGAGAUGGGAUUCUUCUUCUUGAGCUAGACAGAGUACUCAGGCCUGGUGGUUAUUUUGCAUAUUCAUCUCCAGAGGCUUAUGCACAAGAUGAGGAGGACCGUAGAAUCUGGAGAGAAAUGAGUGCUCUUGUAGAGCGUAUGUGUUGGAAGAUAGCGGCAAAAAGGAACCAAACUGUUAUUUGGCAGAAACCUUUGACAAAUGAUUGUUAUCUUGAAAGAGAGCCUGGAACACAGCCUCCUCUUUGCCGUUCUGAUAGUGAUCCUGAUGCUGUGUGGGGUGUAAACAUGGAAGCCUGCAUUACUCCUUACAGCGACCGUAAGUUUUCAGGAAUCUCCGCAAUAACAGUGUUUAUUUUCCUCGUUUGUGAUAGCAAACUCAAAACAGAUUCCCACUGAACUCUUUUUUGGGUUUACUUUAGAUGACCACAAAACCAAGGGAAGUGGAUUAGCUCCAUGGCCAGCUCGGUUAACCUCUCCUCCUCCUAGGCUUGCUGAUUUUGGAUAUUCAACCGGCAUGUUUGAGAAAGACACGGUAUAUAAAAAAACCAUAAGUUCUGUUUAUUGAAACGGACAAGGUAAGAACAUGGGCUAAUUAGUCACUCACAUCAUAUGUUUCUCAUUUGUAAAGGAACUUUGGAGGCAGAGGGUAGAUAGUUAUUGGGAUCUCUUGAGUCCUCGAAUCGAAUCAAAUACAGUGAGGAACAUAAUGGACAUGAAAGCAAGCAUGGGCUCCUUUGCUGCUGCUCUGAAAGAAAAAGAUGUAUGGGUAAUGAAUGUUGUCCCCGAGGAUGGACCGAACACGCUUAAACUGAUCUAUGACAGAGGGUUAAUGGGCGCGAUCCAUAGCUGGUAAGUUUGUCUAUCUAAUCAAAAUGACACAUUGCUUCUACCCAGAAUCUGAAAUCUUUAGCAUGUUUUUCGGUUUUAAAUCAUUCGUUUUCAACGUUCCACAGGUGCGAAGCAUUCUCGACAUAUCCAAGGACAUAUGAUCUCCUCCAUGCUUGGGACAUUCUAUCUGAUAUCCAUAAAAAAGGGUGCAGUGAAGUGGAUUUGUUACUGGAGAUGGAUAGAAUACUGCGCCCGAGCGGGUUUAUAAUCAUAAGGGAUAAACAAAGAGUGGUGGAUUUGGUGAAGAAGUAUCUUAAAGCUUUGCAUUGGGAGGAAGUAGCGAAGACUGAUUCAGAUUCAGAUCAAGAUUCAGACAAUGUUGUAUUCAUUGUCCAGAAAAAGCUGUGGUUGACUAGUGACAGCCUUAGAGAUAUGGAGUGAUGAAGCCACACAAAAUACAGAGACAUUACGACCAAAUGAAUCAUCAUACAACCAAGAAAUUUCAUUAUUGUAGCAAACAUUUAUUAACGUUGUUUUGUUUUUUUUUUUUUAUAACUAUUGUUCUUUCUUACAUUCUUAUUAAUAUUGUUUGUAUGAUUUGGUAGAGAAGAAGCUAUAAAUUUGUAAAACAGAUUGCGUAGUUUGGUGUUGACACCGUAGCGAUGUUGUCGUUGUUGGAAGAAAUCGUAGGUUAUGUCCUAAGCAAAAAUGGAACGGUAACAAAACUAAUAAAGAGACUAACCAAAACAAUCUAACAAUGAGUAGAUAUAAUUACUAACGAUUUUAAACAUUUUACUACACAUUAUGCAAUAAUGUAUAUUGCAAUUUUUUCUUUCUUUCUUUCUUUAUAAGUUACUCAACGAUCACAAAACUUUCUCAAAACAAACCAUGACGAAUAUCAAGAAUAUAUAUAUACAGUAUAACCUCUAUAAAUUAAUACUCGAUAAAUUAAUACCUCGAUAAAUCAAUAAUUUUUUUCGGUCCCAAAUUAGUUUUUCGGUUCAAUUAGUAUAUCGAUAAAUUAAUAAUCACGAUAAAUUAAUAAAAAUUUUAAAAAUACAUAGGUCCCAACAUUAUUAAUUUAUAGAGGUUUUACUGUAUAUAUAUAUAAGUGAAUUUGUUUGAUUAAUAUGCAUGGCUAUAAAAGAUUAAUACUAAAAGUUAUACAAGAAGUCUCUUACAACAAAUUUUUAGUAAAUAAAGGAAAUAAGUAUAUCUAGAAAAUCAUAUUAAACCUCUCAAAAAUGAAAAUGUUAUGCAGAAAAAAGAAGAAGAAAACAAUGGUAUGAAUGAAGUUGGACUUUAGAUGUGCCACCAAAUCAGUAGCACAUUAUUGUGGAAAAUAAAAGUCAGUUUUUACUUAUUGUUGGGAAACAGUUCAUUUAAUUCUUCAAUAUUUUUUUGUACUUCAUAGAUUAAUUCCUCAACUAUUACAUAUACAUAUUGUUUUCUAAAAGUUGUUACUGACUUAAUAAAAUUUAGGUUUAAGAAAAAUUAGCGUGAAGCUAACAAUACCGACGAGAAGCAUGAAAAACCCAUAAAAUCUCUAAAUCAUAAAAAAAGUACUCUAAACGAUUUUCGACAACUCGAAUUCAGUGAUGAAAAAAAAAUCAUUGCCACAAACUCGCUAGUGUUUAUAUAUUAAUUCUAGAAAUUAUGUUUAAGAAAUUAAUUGAUAUAAUCAUUUAAUUGGAGAAAAGUUUAGCGGUUAUAAGUUUUAGUUUUCUUUUCUUUAAAAUAAUAAAUUUUAUUAAAAGUCAACAAAUAAUUUUUAAAAAUAGUGUACAAAUUAAUAUAUUUGUAAUAACUCAAGAAUUAGAUAUAUGAAAAGAAAGAAAAAAAACUUUUAAUAAAAACACCAAUAAGUUAAACAAUUAAUAGUACAUGCCAUAGUUGGAAAUUAAUAUGUUUGUAAUAACUCAAGAAUUAAAUGAGUUAUUUUUUCUCAACCCAAUUUCUUGUCUCAUCAAUUUUUAUUUUUAUUUAUAUAAAAUAAAAAAUAAAAUAAGAAAACUAAAAAAGAGAUGUCAAUAAGUUUGACAUUUAUUCUUUGGCUUUUGACAUUGCCAUCGAACAUAUUUCCCGUGGUGGAGUCCACGCGGUUAUAAUAAAGCCUCUCUCUCUCUCUCCUCUCUCUUCUCUCUCUUCUCUCUCUUCUCUCUACAACAACAUACAUAAACUUAUUAAUAAUAUUAAUUUCACUUUCUUUCGCCUAUUUUAAAAUCCAAUUCCAUUCGUUUAGUAAAUGAUGAACCAAUUAAACCCUUAAUUUACGCUAAUCAGUCUUUAGUAACUAACAAUACAAAAUAAAUACAUUAAUCUCAGUAGUAAACAAAUAAGAGAGAGAGAAAGAAAACAUAAAAAAACGAACUGAGAAAGAAGAAGAAGAAGAGUAGUACCUCAUUACUCUCUUUGCAAAAUUCACACACAUCGAAAGAAACAGAGAUUGUAAUAAAGUUUCAAACUUUUUUCUUCGAUCUCCAAAUUUUUUGAAAACAGAAGAAGACGAAGAAAGAAACAAGAGCAAGAAUUGAGGAAUCGAAUCCCAAGAAUCGAGGUCUUCUUCUUCUCUUCUCCUCUUUCACUUUAUAUAUUUUUUAAAUUUUCUUUCUUUCUUUUCUCUCUCACCACAAAUUACGGGUCUCUGUCUUUGUGUCUGCGUUUUUGUCUCUCACCAUGUUGUCUUGUUUUCUUAAAAAUUCCUAAUCUAACUUCUUCUUCUUCAUUGCAAAGCUUCUUCCUUUGAGAUCGACCUUCUUUGUUGAUUUGCGGUUUUGUUGCAUUCAUUCUUCUUCGCUGACUCUGAAGAAGAAACAAAAAAAACUAGGGUUUCUUGUUUGAUUUCUUCUUAUUAUUCCCCCCAAAUUUGGUGUGCAUUUGCUAUUUCAGAUCUAUUAGGUUUGUGUUCUUCUUUUAAAUGAUCGUGAAAUUGACUUAUUGUUUCUUUCUUAGUACUAAUCUAUGGAGAAUUCUGUAAUGUUAGAUUCAUAUAUGUAUUUUGAUUUCGGGUUUAAGUAGAUUAGGUGUGAUAUAAAGUUUUCACCUUUAAGCUCGUUUUGUUUAUUUCUGGAUACCAACUUCACUGCUUUGUUAUGACUCUGCAAAGCAGUUGAAUUGCUCUGAGUUUCCUAUUCAAUGUUUGGAGUUUCUACAAUCAUUCUUAUUACUAGCAAAAUGCUUCUGUUGAUCUGCUGUUGGAGUCAGUGUUAAUUAAUAUAUAUGUCAUUAUGUUGCAGGUGUGAAAUCUAAUCACUAGGUGCAUGAUAUAUGAAAACUGAUAUUACAUAAUUGGAGUGGGACUAGUGCUCUGCGCUUAUCAUACUGUCUGGUCACUUGUACAUAAAGUACCUAACUCAAUAUCUGGUUUGGAAGGGGGAAGCUAAAGGGGGAGAGAAAUGGAGACUGCCAAAGCUUGGCUGAAUAAGUUAAAAGCUAAAGACAAAGUGAAAUCCUCUAAAAAGAAGGAAACCACGAGUAAUGUAAAGGAAGGACCCAAAACAGCUGGAGGGGAAGAAGCACUUUCAAAUGUAACCAAGGAGAAGGCUGCUGCUGCUAAACUGUAUAUUGAAAAUCAUUACAAAAUGCAAAUGCAGAGUCUGCAGGAAAGAAAGGAGCGGUAUGGUUUCAUUACAUGCAUUUUCUGCGAGAAAAACUUCCAUCCAUAUCCUUAGCUCAUCUCUUGGUAAUUACUCUUCAUGCAGACGCAAAAUGCUAGAGAAAAAAUUAGCUGCUGCAGAAGUCUCUGAGGAAGAGCAGAACAACUUGUUAAAGGAUUUGGAGAUGAAGGAAACUGAAUACAUGCGCCGUCAGAGGCAUAAAAUGGGAGCUGAUGACUUCGAGCCAUUGACGAUGAUUGGGAAGGGUGCAUUCGGAGAGGUAGCAUUGCUUCAUCUUUUAAAGAUCAUAUUCCGUUUCUUGGCCUUUAAUUGGCAUGUACCUACUACGUACAUCGUUUUGAAGUUCUCUGUGAUGCAUCAUGCGUCCUUCUUGAAAGUUCUUAUGGUAUUUUUGGGCUGCAGCUUAGUAAGCUUUGCAUGCUAAUAUUAAUCUCCCUCUUUGCAGGUGAGGAUAUGUAGAGAGAAGGGAACAGGCAAUGUCUAUGCAAUGAAGAAGCUUAAAAAAUCUGAGAUGCUUCGCAGAGGCCAGGUAUUGAAAUUCUUCCAAGUGGCGUUUGAUUGAGUUUUGUUUGGUUUGUUAAUGUAUUUCUUGAAUAUGAUUUCAGGUGGAACAUGUAAAAGCAGAGAGGAAUUUACUUGCAGAAGUUGACAGCAAUUGCAUUGUCAAAUUGUAUUGUUCUUUUCAAGAUGAGGAGUACUUGUAUCUCAUAAUGGAGUAUCUACCUGGCGGUGAUAUGAUGACUUUACUUAUGAGGAAAGACACCCUUACUGAAGAUGAGGCCAGGUUUUAUAUUGGGGAAACUGUCCUGGCUAUUGAGUCCAUUCAUAAGCAUAACUAUAUCCACAGGUCAGUGAAGCAGGAUAUAGUAGUAGCUCUAUUUGUUAAAUGUCCUGGCUAUUGCGUCCAUUCAUAUGAUUUAGUUGUAUCUCCUUUACUUUGUUCUUUACAUCAUUUUUGUGAUACAGAGAUAUCAAGCCUGACAAUCUGCUGCUUGACAAAGACGGCCACAUGAAACUGUCAGAUUUUGGAUUAUGUAAACCAUUAGACUGUAGUAAUCUUCAGGAGAAAGACUUCACAGUUGCUAGAAACGUUAGCGGUGCUUUACAAAGUGAUGGUCGGCCUGUGGCUACAAGACGUACUCAACAAGAGCAACUACUAAACUGGCAGAGAAAUAGAAGGAUGCUUGUAAGUUUAACUUAUUUAUGCUCUCUUUUUUUCAGAGCACACUAUCCAGUAUGUUUCGUUCGUUUAAAAAAUGGUCUCUCCAUUGAUAUAGAUAUUUGUGUUAGAUUUAACUUAUUAGGUCAAGGUUAUUGCUUUCAGGCUUAUUCCACAGUUGGAACUCCUGACUAUAUUGCCCCAGAAGUUCUGCUGAAAAAAGGAUAUGGAAUGGAAUGUGAUUGGUAGGUGAAGCCAACCUAUUUUAAUUUGUUACCUUUGGUUGCGUUGGUGCAUAUAAUUAAUAUAGAUGAAUAAUCUUGAGAGCUUUGUUUUAGGUGGUCUCUUGGCGCCAUUAUGUAUGAAAUGCUUGUGGGGUUUCCGCCAUUUUACUCAGAUGAUCCAAUGACAACUUGUAGGAAGGUAAUUACUUAAUCCAUUUCCUUUGUGGUCAUUUAAUUUUAAUAGUGGAAGCAGCCUGGCGAUUUCAAGUCAUGCAUUCAAUGUUAGUCUCUCUGUAUCUCUUUGGUAAUUCUCUUUUGAUUAUGGUCACCCUUAUGCAGAUAGUAAAUUGGAGAAAUUACUUGAAAUUCCCAGAUGAGGUUAGACUAUCACCAGAAGCCAAAGAUCUUAUUUGCAGGCUUUUAUGCAAUGUUGAGCAAAGGCUUGGAACAAAAGGAGCAGAUGAAAUUAAGGUGUUGUGUACUUUGUUCAACUUUGAGAUUUGAAGUUCCCUUAUCCAAGAUUAUUGUGACAAAUCCUAAUCAAAGAUUUGACUGGUUUCUUUCAGAGUCACCCUUGGUUCAGAGGUACCGAAUGGGGGAAAUUGUACCAAAUGAAAGCUGCCUUUAUUCCCCAAGUCAAUGAUGAGUUGGAUACCCAAAAUUUUGAGAAAUUUGAAGAGGUAACAUACUGAUACUAUCAGCUAUUGAAAUAUUGGUGCAAUAUUUUCCACUCAUGAUGUGUCUUGAUGUAUUAUGUAUAUACUGAUAUAUUGGUGCCACAGAUGAUUUGUGUGUUCCUGAUAAGGAAAAUAAUAUAUACUCUUCUUUUGAUUCCUUCUGGAACAGACUGACAAGCAAGUUCCAAAGUCGGCAAGGUCGGGUCCAUGGAGAAAGGUAAAUCAAAAGCACUGACUUUUGGCAUUAUGUACCAUCAGGUUUAACCGCCUUAGGUUUUUUAACUUAUCCAGUAGAUAAGUAAUCAUACUUCAACAAAUUUCUAUAUAUGGGUUACCCGGGAUAUGUUGUUUUGUGAUGAUAUUAUAGACACCGCCUAAAAGAUUACAUGCAAUAACGAGCUCUGAAUUUUCUCAGUCUGUCCCAAGUGUUUAUGUCUUAGAAAUAUGUAUAAAUUAGCAUCUGAGUGCUGCCUGUUGUUGUACGAUCUUCCAGUCAAUUUUGUUCACCUACAAAACAAAGCAUAUUUCACUCUUUUUAUCCAAAUUUCUUUAUUGGAAUUUAGAACUUGGACGAACUGCUUGGUAUGCUAUUAAUCUGCCAAUGGGGCACGUUGACCUGUGUUUGAUGAAACUCAUAUCUAUUAGAGGCAACAUGAGACAAAUAAGAACCUGUCAUUGGAAUCUGUGUCAUGAACCAAAAGGAAGCAUUUAAAGUGAUAGUUUUUGUGCUGUCUUGAGCUUUCAUAACAUGUGUUUGGCUUUCUUUUUUCUUCUCCAGAUGCUCUCAUCCAAGGACAUUAACUUUGUCGGUUAUACUUACAAGAACGUAGAAAUCGUAAAUGAUGACCAAUUACCAGGGAUAGGUAUCUCACUUAACCCCCUUCCUUUGCGGAGGAAGAAGCAACAGAACUAGAUUGCAUUAUGAUUACCAUUGCUCGUUGGCUGCAUUUGUAAUCAGUUUUUUUUGUGUGCAGCCGAGCUAAAGAAGAAGAGCAAUAAGCCAAAGCGGCCAUCGAUUAAAUCCCUCUUUGGUAAAUCAUCUGUUUGCCUGCUAUAUACAUAAAAUCAAGAUGUUUGAUUCUCUCUAACCAAAUUGUGGAAAAUAAAUGAACAGAAGAUGAAUCAACUGGUGGGACAACAACCCGCCAAGGAAGCUUCUUGAAUCUAUUACCGACGCAGAUUGAAGAACCAGAGAAAGAAGGUAGUAAAUCAAGCUCAUCCGGGUGAUUACAUUUGACAAACUGCACAGCCUGAACCAGAGAAAGACUCUUCUUAUAUAACUUGUGUGUUGUUGAUUUCGUUGAAAGCCUUGUGUUUGCUCCAAAAAGACUGUUAAAAGUUUGAGUUAGCAGAUGGGGUUUCAACAAAAGUACAGUCUCUCCAAUGGAAAUGGAAGCGAAGGCUCUCCAUGAGGAGAAAAAGAUUGGUUUGUUUAAUUGUUUCAACAUAGAAAAAAUGAAGUAAAUAUUCUUCUCGAGGAAUUGGGUUGGUUUAAUUUAUUUUCACAGGUAGGGUAUUUGAUUUUAUUUAUUUGGUUGCUUUUUGUUAAUCAAAGCUUGGUUGUACUAUAAACCCUACUCAAGAUGAAAUCUUCACCCACUAAUGCUAAUGAGUAAUGACCAAAGUCUUGUUGUCUCUCUUCCUACCUUUGCUCACUUGUAUGAUAAGGACUAGGUUUUAACCCGCGGUUUUAAUAUUAUAAGAAGAUGUUUUAUUAUUACAAAGGUCUCAGUGCUUACAAGCGUAUAUUGGUUCUCAGCCAUACAAGAGUUACCAACACAAGCAUACUUAUUUGGCUGUCUCUUCUUGAACACAUAAACAUGGUUUGUACUCAUCUUCUCCUUAGCAAUCAGAACCUUGUCACUGCCAUCAAUAGUGAGGUAUCGGCCCUGAUCAUAAGGACAUUCUCCAAGCCCUGUCAGAACUUUCUCCGAGUUCCGAAACAAGGUACAAUAACUAGACCAGAACAUGAUGGGAACUUAGCAAAAAAAAGUCAAACAAAGACGAUAAUAUGGCUACUACCAGAACAGUAUAGUAGAUGGAUGCAGCUUGUUAAAUCUUGCAGAAAAACUAAGCAUGCGCACCUUCCCAAUGAAGCUUUGGUAAAAUCCAGUGCCCCGUGUGACUUCCUCACCACCAUCAUGCCCUUUCUUAAUAACUCUCUAAAGUUGACACCAAGGCCACCACCUCUGUUUUGUGCUUCCACCAUUCUGCAAACCCCACUAGUUGCCAGCAAGUCUCCCUUCGUAUGACCACUGCGGACCAGAGUUAGCACAUUGAGAAACACCUACCACAUGCAUUAGUAUGUACAAACUCCUUCUUAGCAACAAAUCUUACAGCACUUUGUUAUUUAGCUUAGCAUACAAUUUGCUUUUUGCCCAAUCUUAAGAAAAUAUUGUUUUGGUUUAGACAGAGGAAGAGAAACAGAAGAAACCUACAAAUCAUAGCUAUGGUAGAAAGAGAUUUUCAGCUAGUUCAAAAAUCAAUUCUUCUUAAAAAUGAUAAAGAAAAGGAAAUUAAAGAACUUGCUCUUUGCUUAUAUUGGAACACAGAUAUUAUUAGAUGAUAAUCAAAGUUUCAUCAACACAUAAAAUCCAAGGCCUUAAUUUGUCUUCAGACUACAUUUUGGAACAAAUUAACACAACUACAAUCAUGCCAAUGCCCUCCUUUGAAAACUCCCUUCACGGUCGACGAAAUCAGAUUUCCGCUUGUUAUCAGGAGGAGCUUGAGAGCUUCCUCCUCCAUCAUCGAAUAGGAGAGUCAAAUCCUUGGCAACGAAAUUUUCAUCAAGAUUAUCCAUCCAAUCUGGUUCAGCAUCGGAUAAACUAACAGCGUAUCUCUUAUAAUACAAACCCAUAAAAGCUAAACUCACUUCUGAAUCAUCCAUGUUUUUUGAGAGUACAAUCACAUUUCCUGGUGAAGGAUUUUCUAUCCCCCAUAGGUACAUGUCCAAUAACAUGGAGUAAAUCCCCGCAUGCUCGUCGUCUUCGGGUAAGGUACCGGUUUUGAUUCCUGCAUCGGAAAAUUUACGAAGCAAUCCAUCAUCAUCCGAGAACCUACUCUCCUUACCGUAAAACUGGAUUGACACAUGCCCACACAAGUUCAUAGCUUUGACUUCUGAUUUGAUUUUCUCUUCCACUGAACGAGGUUCAAGAUCGUAAGGGAUUGGGUAAUCUUCCACGUUCCAAAACACGCAUGUGUUAGAAUCUGCCAACGGACAACAAGUAAUCAAUGACAGAUCGAUCAGAUCAAAGCUAAUCCAGAUCAUAGAAAAACCAUAUCGACUAAGAGAUAUAUAAAGAGAGAGAGAGAGAGCGAGAUCUUACCACUGUAUAGUCUGAACACUUCAGACAUGGUUUCGUUAGAAAAAAGCAGAUGAACAGAUAUGGUUGCUUAAAAAAGGGUCGGAACUUUAUAUUAGUUGACGGAACCCUAAAUUGAGAUUAUAGAUAUUUAUGGGUUAUUUGCACGUCAAGUCACUUUCCAUAAAGAUAUUGCCAAUUAAGUCACUUUGUAAAGUGCCGUCUGACACAGAGAAAAUAUGGGACGAAGACCUAUCGUAUACUACAAUUAUUUGUAAAGUUCCAUCAACAUUUUCAGCCUUGCGUCUCUCUCAAAAAUAAGUUCUACAAUUAUUUUUCCCCACAACAAAAGUUCGAAACUUUUUUCCCCGUUUAAUUAAAGUUUGAAACCGAUUUACACAUGAAGUUGGGUUAAUGUUGGUUUAUUGUAAACCAAUCUCGUCUUAACCAUUUAAAAGAAAACAAAACCUAUACUACACCAACUAGGUUCGGAUCCGCGCUACAGCGCGGAGGAAUGUUUUCGGGUUUAUUUUAGUAUCGAUAAUUAUUAUUUCAAAAUAUUUAUUUAGUUUCAAUUCUUUGGAAAAAUGUGUAUUCAGAAAUGAAAUACAGUAUUUAAAUAAAACAAAUAAAAGAACGUAUAUUAAACAAAUUACAAACUCACAAUGUAUAUUGUAACGAAUCAAUCCGUAAAGACCCGUGUAUUUUUAUAAAGAAUCAUGAAAAAUGAGUAAUUAUUUGAAAAAUAAAAGUAUAAUUAAAUAAAUAUAAUUGAAUCAUGACAUAAAAUGGGUAUAAUUACUACAAAAUGAGAAAAUUUAAAACCCUAUAAUAUAGGAGUAUAGUUAGCUUUUAAAUUUGAAAUAAAAGUUACGUCAUAAAAUAUACUCUUAUGAAAUAUAGUGAUUUAGUUUAUGAUAACAAUCGUAAUAUAAUCUUAUGAAAUAUAGUGAUUUAGUUUAUAUAAAAUAAAGAAUAUUUAAUGUUUAAUAUUCAGCUAAAUUUUUUAAUUUUAUUUUUUAUUUUCAAAAGUACUUAAAAAUAAGUAGUAUUUUUAAAAACAAUAAAUUUGAUUAAAUAGUUAUUAUUAUUGCUUCCCAAAUAAUAGUAAUGAUAAUUUAUGUAAUAUUUUUCUUCCCAAAAAAGAAAUUCUGAGACAUUGUCGAAGAAGAGAUGGAAGCUUAAUAUGUGACUGUCGAAGGUAUUUGUAGUCUACGGUGAAGAAUGCAAACAUAUAUAUAUAUAUUGCUUGAAAUAUUCUAAAUAAGAAAUUAAAAUAUACCUAUUUCCAUAAGUUAUGAAAUCGUAUUAAAUUCGAAUUUCUAAACUUUAAUAUUAUAUAGAAAUUAAUUGUAUCAAUGAUUAAGAAUAUAAUCGCAAAAGUUACGGUAAUGUAACCAUAUAAGGAUAGUAGUUAAAGAUUUUGUUGGUUAGCUAUUUUUUUGGUAAUUAUUUAACAUAUACAGUUAUUAUAGUAUCUUAUGGCUAAGUUAGUGGAUUCUAAGUGAAGAUCUUUGAUUUUAUAGUACCGAAACAUUUGUUAACAGGCUGUUUAAUACUCUUUUAAAUACUCUUUUAAUACUCUUUUAAGUGGUCCGAUUAUUUAACUAUCCACUAAAUUCUAAUCGGGUUGUUUUGCUAAAUUUUCCCCAAAUAACCCGACUCAUGAAUUUUUUGUACUCCUAUUUUACUAAUAUAGAGAUUUACUUAAACCUAACCUAAUUAAAAGCAAAAAAAAAAAACAAAAUUAAAACCAUUAAAAAAAUAGAUUAUAGAAACAUUUUAUUAAGGAAAUUUUAUAUUUCGGUUAGGGUUUAGAUUUUAUACAUAAACAAAAUUGUAUUUCGGUUUGGGUUGACAAAAUAGUGGUCAGGAUUUAGAUUUUGUAAUUAAACGAAAUUAUAUUUCGGUUUGGAUUGACAAAACAGUGUUUAGAGUUUAGAUCUUGUAACUAAAACGAAAUUAUAUUUCUGUUUGGGUUGAUAACAUAGUGGUUAGAGUUUAGAUUUUGUAAUUAAACGAAAUUAUAUUUCGGUUUGGGUUUAUAAAAGAGUGAUUAUAUUAUACAAAUUUUGUUUCCAUAAUCUAUUUUGUUUUAAUGAUUUUAGUUUUAAUUUAUUUUUAUAUAUAGUAUGACGCGACAAAUUACUUCAUUUUAAUUGGUUAAUCUAAGUGAAUGAGGAGGGGGUGAACCCAAAGUAUUGCUCGUAGUUGCACCUAAACCUAAAAUUUCACAAAGGUCUCUCGCCCUCUUCUCAUCGAAGCUAUUGCCAGCCGCGUCAAAACCAUGUCCCAGCCCACCAGCGAAAGAUUUUUCCCACCCCCUACCACUAGACUCGACGGGAGUAAGUUGCAUCUCUUGCUUGAACUUGUUCGUCUAUGAUCUGGUUUAGAUUUCAUCUCUAUCAGUUACUUUUAAAUGGAUCUUGUCUUCUGAUGUUUGGCAAUAGUGGUUUGUUUUUAAUCGUUAUCCGUUUUGUGAAACUUCACAGGUCGUUUAACGAUGGUCUACUGGGUCAUCGAUGAUGGCCCAAUCCCUUCACUUUACGAGAUUUGGAAGGCAUACGAUAAAAUCGGAUCAUACCUCGCCCAUGUGGAGGAGUUUCGUGGGGGAUCGAAACUCGAGGUUUACUUUCUUAAACCAGCCAAGGUAUUGCCCAAAGAAUAUUGGGAUCAUUAUGAAGAAUUUAUGAGAAUCAAGAAUGGUAAAGAAGGUGAAUCCUUCUACUUUAAACCCGCUUUUCCCUUUUAUAUCACCUAUAUAACUUGGUUAGUGUGUAUUCUAUUGCAGUCGCUUGUCCCCUUUAUAUAUCACCUAUAUGACUUGGUUAGUGUAUUCUAUUGCAGGUAAAGGUGUGAGAUUUGAAAGGAUGUUACUUGACAUUCUUGUAUGGUCGUUGCUGGAGAAACGUAAUUAUCUGAUAAUCUCAAGUAACAAAGACUUUGGACACGGCACCAAGUUCAACACAGUACGUGAUACUUUAAAGGAGAAGGGUAUCACUGUUACUGUAGCACAUCCUGAUUUUUUCAUAAACCUUGAUCCCUCAUUCUUUGAUCAGUUUGGCAUCCCCUGAAAUAGUUCCCAAGUUUACAUUUACCCUAUACAAAAUAAGGCUAUUCAGGUUCCAUCUUUUUUUUAAGAAGAAUAAGAAACAUUAGAAGCAGGGGAAAGAGGAUCACAAGACUUCCAUUAGUUGCUUCACUUCAGUUUCAGUGAGUCUAGAGCCAAGUUUAGUCAGCCUGGUUUUCAAUUCUUGGUAAGUAAUUGUGCCCGCUUUUUUCGAUAUCCAUACUCAGCAAACAUUGUUUUUAAGACCUUUAAUUUCCUCUUCCGAGAGAUUCUCUGCAAUAACAUGCAAACCAAAAUCAGAAACACAACCUAUGAUUAAGCAAAACAAAAGAGAAUUAAUGUCUUACUUGCAAAAGAAGCAUUUGUAAUAUUUUACCUUAAGAGCUAGCUUCUUAAGUUUGUUCAUUGCUUGGAAUUGCUUCAUCCGAAAUAACACCGCGCUAUCAAUAGGCUUGUCCGGUGCUUCUCCUCCUCUGAUCCAAGGAUGUUCUGAGCAAGAAAAAAAAAGAAAACCACAAGGAUCACUACGGAUUAGUAAAGCACUACUACAAAACAGCACUUAGAGAGACCAAAGGGACUUUACCAAGAGCUUGUGCGGCUGAGAUUCAUUUUUGAGGGUCACUACCAAACUUAUACAGAGUUAUUUUUUACCCCACCCAACAACUGUCAUAGGUUAAGUUUUUAUGUUGAGUUGUUGACACAUGAGAAAUUUUUACUAAAAUCGUCACGUAAUUGGGAGCCAGCCAAAACAUUAUAAAGAAAUUAAUAUGAAAAUAUAUCAUACAUACACCCUUCGGAAGAAAUAUCGAACACGUUAGACUUUUUAGUUUUGUUACAAAAAAUUCAUAAAUUUCGUUUCAUUUUACAAAGCUACGCCCAAGAGAGAGAAUCCGACCGUUCAACUUCAGAGAGCAAGGCUCCUCACUUGUCUGAACUCCUUAGUCUUUGCCUUUAGCCGACUUCAGGUGUACAAUAAGCAUCUGUGGCGCAAUUGCCAUUGACAUAUAAGCUCAUGCAAGAGCAAGAACAAUUUGAAUGUAUACUUGUUAAGUGAACAAAGUACUUGCAGUUACAAGUUUUCAAUGUACUUUGCUCAAUAUUAAAAAAAAAACACAAGAAAAGAGACAAUAAGUGUACCAUGAGAGUGUUGAACUUGGGUUUAGGGGUGUCAAAAAGCUGAAGAAAACAAAUUUCGAUUUAAACCAUUCCAACUCUUAUUUUGUUGUUGUUAUAGAUCAUUAAUUGAUGUAUCCUACUAUAUUAAUUGGAAAUACACAAAUAAAAACAACCUUAUAUAUUGUAAGAAUUUACAUUGAAAUGCCAUUAGAAAAAGUUUUAAAAAAUAAUAAUAAUAAUAAUAUAAAGAUAAUUAUAAAAAUAAUCAAAUGAAUUAAAUACGUAAAAUCGCAAUAUAAUCGCAAGUACUAGUUUUUAACCCGUGGUACACCGCGGGACGAUAUUUUAAAAUGUAUUUUUUAAAAAAAAAAUUGUAUGGUAUAUAAGAUUGUACUAGUGUAUUUUGUUAGUUAAUUGAUUAAUUAUAUUAUUUAAUUCGUGUAUUGCAUGAUUACUUAUUUUUAUAUAAUCGUAAUUUGAUUAACUUAAUUAAAUAAAUCUAAUAAUCAAAACAAUGAAAUGAUGUUGGCAUAACAUCUUUCGUUUAAAUAGUCUAAUUUUAUAUUAAUUUUUCUUGUGAGCUUGACUAUAAUAGACAACCCGUAAAAACAUAUAUAAUUAUAGUUAUGUAAUUUAUAACCCGUUUCAUCACAUGACCUACACAUUUAUCAAUAAUACUUUAGUACAUACAUUUUUGUAUUGAUUGAGUAAUAUAUGUCCGUUUUCAAAAAUUCGAUUUGCAACAUAUGCAGAAAAAAUAUAUUUUUACUAUACAUAUGUUUAGAACGAUUAAAGAUUCUUGCAUGGUGUUGUGGUCAGCGGACGAUGAUUAAUAGACAAUGGAACUGUGCGCGUCGCGCUACCAAAUUGGUCGAUACACCGACAAAUAGAAACUAUGCACGUCGCGAGACCAAAUUGGUCGAUACACCAACAAUGAAUUCACAACAUUAUGUGAAGAACUCAAUGAAAUUUUGCGCCUCCUUGAAAAAAAGGAAAUCAAAAUCAACGACUCUAUAAAUUACAUUGUAAAGCUAGACAAAAGAAAUCAAAAUCAAUGCCAUACAAUAAAUAUUACACAACUUCUUACUACGAGCUGUCCAAACGACAAGAAAACAACGCGUGUGACAAAUAGACGAAUAGGAGCAAAAAGCAUAUGUCACUAAAACCGAAAGCCACUUCCUCAACAUCUUAUGUAAUCUUUAGUAUGUAAUAACAUCACCUAGUCAAUAAUGCAAGCCAACAAUUAUACACUAUAGUAUACGUUGAUGACACAAUUCAAAGGAUGGAUAGAUAAAUCAUAUAGUCAAAUUUGAUAUUAAUAUAUAUACACUAAUUACGCUGCGAUGUGGACACGAACACGCAUAACAUCUAUUAGAUAUCAUCCGUACAACUAAACUAUAAGAGAAUGUCCAAUGCAUCAUAACUUGUACUUUUUAUAAUUACAAUAAUGCUAAAAAAUUUGUUUACAACUUUAGUAUUGGAGAUGAUCUAAGCUUACUUACUUUACUAAUUAGAUAACUUUUCUUAUUCCUUUUGACUUCUUUUGUCUAGCUUUUCAUUGGCCAUCAUUAUAGUUUAACACUAUACCGAAAGUUUCACAAAAUAUUAUAAAACCUUGUAAGUGAUUGUAUACAAUUAUUAAUAAGUUUUGUUUUGCCAUAUGAAAAUAUGACUAGACUCAAGAUGAAUGGACCCAAAACAACAUUUGUUCCAAAAUUUUCUAUAGUAAUUAAAAAAAAUUCAUAACUAUUAUAUAUUUUUCUCACCUGACUUUUAAGGGAGAUCUCAACAAAUCAACAACAAAUACAUGCAGUUUAAAAAACUUACAUUUCAAUGAUGGACUUUACUAUGAAAAAAGUUCACAUAUACGGCAACAAAAGGCACAUAUAUUCGAAUUUUUUAAACUCCAAUUUAAUUUAGUUAUUUUUUUGUUGCACAUCAAACUGCACUAGAAAUGUUUGGAUAUGAACUUUGAAAGAAUUUUUUUUACGAUGAUUUGUGUAUUGUGUUUGUCUAUUUUCAUCUCUACACACAUUACAAAACGGGUGUAUUGCAUCACUUUAUGUAUAUUUGAAUCAAAUAUAAUUGAUGUAAAUGAUUUUUGCAUCAUUUUAUUGUAAACGAUAGAUAUUGCAUCGAUUGUAAAAAAUGAUGUUAAUUUUGCAUAACUUAAUUUGAUUGAUGUUAGUAGUUGCAUCAAUUUAUCAAAAUGAUGCAGACAUUUGAAAUGGUUAUAGUAAUUAAUGUUAAGUGUAUAUAUUAGUUAUAAAUAAUCAAUGAUAAAAUUAAUAAACUAAUUUCAAAAUAAUACUUUAAAACAUAUAUUAUUCAAAUUUAUUGAUUAAUAUGAAAGCAAACUAUUGUAUUUUUUGAGGUAAUAAUAAUUCAUUUCUUAAGACAAUUUGCCUUGGAUUUUAAACUAAUAUCCUUAACAAAAUCAAGAUUUUGUUUUUUGCUGCGAACUUCCGCUUGGCUAGAUGCAGUCUCGGAUCCAGCGUCUGUAAAGACGCAUUGAUGUUUUUCUCCAUGUCGCGAAUUUGAUGAGUUUCCAACUGAGAAUUUUCAAAAUCCCACCAAAAAGGUACUUCGAACUCAGGAUCUCGUCGAUCUAAAAAAAUACCAAAAGUUGUUAGUAAAAAAGAUUUUAUAGUGGUAAUAACUUAGAGCUAUCAUCUGAUCAGAACUGAGAGAAUAUGAAAACCAAAACAUGGAAAUUAAAAUUUUCAAUAUUUAUAAUAUUUUAAACUUUUAAAUUUUUUAUAAUUUAUUAUAUUUUGAAACUUUUUAGGAGUUUUCGUUUUCUCAAAAAUAAACGGACUAAACCAAAUAAACUGGAUGUUUGAAAAAUCAAGCUUACUACUCAUUUGUGGUUGGAAGUAGAUUAGGUUAGUCAUGUAUUUAUAAUGGUUCUAAGCCAUUGUCAAAACAAUUUUUUACCUGAUUUGGACGUUGUACGUACAUUUUUUUUUUAUUGAAUGAGUAAUAUACGUCUGAUUUCAAAUAUUCAAAUUGCAACAUACGUAGAAUUUUUUUUUAUGCUGACAAAAAAAAAGAAAUUUUUUUAUAUAUUUAUUAUACAUAUGUUUUAGUAUUAAAAUAAAUUUAAAAACAAAUAAUAUCAUAUAAAGAUAUAGGAAGAUAUUUAAGAGAAGAAAAUUAGCAAAUUAUAUUUAGUUAGAUUUUUGUUGCACAUCAACUUUUUUAAACUCCAAUUAAAUUUAGUUAGAUUUUUGUUGCACAUCAACUGUACUAGAAAUGUUUGGAUAUGAACUUUGAAAGACUUUUUUUUACGAUGAUUUGUGUAUUGUGUUUGUCUAUUUUCAUCUCUACACACAUUACAAAACGGGUGUAUUGCAUCACUUUCUGUAUAUUUGAAUCAAAUAUAAUUGAUGUAAAUGAUUUUUGCAUCAUUUUAUUGUAAACUAUAAAUAAUGCAUCGAUUUUAAAAAAUGAUGUUAAUUUUGCAUAACUUAAUUUGAUUGAUGUUAGUAGUUGCAUCAAUUUAUCAAAAUGAUGCAGACAUUUGAAAUGGUUAUAGUAAUUGAUGUUAAAUGUAUAUAUUAGUUAUAAAUAAUCAAUGAUAAAAUUAAUAAACUAAUUUCAAAAUAAUACUUUAAAGCAUAUAUUAUUCAAAUUUAUUGAUUAAUAUGAAAACAAACUAUUGUAUUUGUUUGUGUUAAUAAUACUUCAUUUCUUAAGACAAUUUGCCUUGGAUUUUAAACUAAUAUCCUUAACAAAAUCAAGAUUUUGUUUUCUGCUGCGAACUUCCGAUUGGCUAGAUGCAGUCUCGGAUCCACCGUCUGUAAAGACGCAUUGAUGAGUUUCUAACUGGGAAUUUUCAAAAUCCCACCAAAAAUGUACUUCGAACUCAGGAUCUCGUCGAUCUAAGAAAAAAUACCAAAAGUUGUUAGUAAUAAAGAUUUUAUAGUGGUAAUAACUUAGAGCUAUCAUUUGAUCAGAACUGAGAGAAUAUGAAAACCAAAACAUGGAAAUUAAAAUUUUAAAUAUUUAUAAUAUUUUAAAAUUUUAAAAAUUUAUAAUUUAUAAUAUUUUGAAACUUUUUAGGAGUUUUCGUUUUCUCAAAUAAUAAACGGAUUAAACCAAAUAAGAAAUCAAGCUUACUACUCAUUUGUGGUUGGAAGUAGAUUAGAUUAGUCAUGUAUUUAUAAUGGUUCUAAACCAUUGUCAAAACAAUUUUUUACCUGAUGUGGACGUUGUACGUACAUUUUUUUUAUCGAAUGAGUAAUAUACGUCCGAUUUCAAAUAUUCAAAUUGCAACAUACGUAGAAAUUUUCUUUUAUAUUUAUUAUACAUAUGUUUUAGGUUUAAAAUAAAUUUAAAAACAAAUAAUAUCAUAUAAAGAAUAGGAAAGAUAUUUGAGAGAAGAAAAUUAGCAAAUUGUAUUUUUUAUUCAUUAUAGAUAGAUUUUAGGAAAUAAUGUGAUUAAUAUUAGUUUCCAAUUUUGUGGUUUUGUUUUGAUUUAAUUGCACAACCUAAUUUUUUUUCUAAUUCAAAUGGCUAAGAGUUUAAUUAUCCAAAUGUUAUAAAGUAAAAAAGUUAUAACCAAAAAUGUAAUUUAAAAUUAAUAAUUUAGAUAUCGAUCGUCUUCUUAUAAUCAAAAGAGAAGUAAAAAUUGAAAUUUUGACAAAAUUAACCUUUAAAUCAUUGAAAUUGAUAUUAAUUAUGCACACAGGAGAGAGAAUUGAGAAAUUGAUAAGGGAUAAAUUGGACAUAAAAAUAUUUGAUGCACAUAUUACUACUAAAUCCGCUUGUAUCCGAGAAACUAACAUGCUAAGUGCUAACUGUCGAAUCCAUUACACAAUUUGUUAUGGUAGGCUUUCAAUAAUAUCGUUAGCCUACUACAAUUGUAUUUUAUUGAACAGACGAAUCCAUUACCUAAUUUAUUGAGAGAACAAAGCCCACAAGCCCACAACAAUAUCCUGAUCUUUACAACACUCUUUGGGUAAACGUGUCAUAGAUUGUUUUACGUAUUGAAAAGAAAAUAUACUAACCAGUGAUAUAGUUCCUUGGUUGAGUCCAUUCAAAGAAUUAUGAGAUUGAAAACAUCAUCAUAAAUUUAAGCAAGCUUCGAAUCAUAUGUUUUUUAUAGUUAGCGAGUAACAACACCGAUGUAUCUUUUUACAAAAAUUAUAAACACCAACUGGUUUCGCAUUGGAAAAUUUUAAAAUUCUUUCUUUUGUUAAACUAAAUAUGUAUGUUGUCAAGCUUACACAUCAAAGGAUUUUGCCGUUUUUUAAAGAAAUAAUCCAAUUUUUUUGGCAACUAUUAAACAAAAUACCAUUUGGAGUUUCACUAAUGCUAUAAUUUGAUUCGGAACUUCAUUCAAGUAAACAACACAUUCAAGUAAACAACAGAUAAAAAUAUAAAACCAAGAGUAACCUGAAAAGGCAAAACUUGAAAGCAUAGAUGGUUGACCAUGAUUUGACAUUUCGGUGAUGUUUAAAAUUCUUGAUUAUGAAUCCUAAACGUUCCUUAAGAGAUCCAAAUUAGAUGUGACAUGUUAUUUCUAAAAGGAAAAAAAAACAAAUCUAUAAGAAUUGAUUAUACCAGAUUCUUAGGAAAUUAAAAUAGACGAAGGUGGAAGAAGAUAAUGAUCUGAAUGUCUCGUAACCUUAAAAGUGACUUCAAUCUUCAUCGAGAGUGUGACGAAGAUGAGCGUGUGGGCUAUUAAAAUAAUAUACACAGCGGUGAAAUAUAAACAUACAUGAUUUGUUUUUAGUUCUUUUACUAUUAUUAGUGGUCUCUUAGCUAAUUCUUAAGCAAAGAGACAUCUUUUAGUAAAUUUUAGCUUAAGAGUUAGCUAAGACAUCUCAAUAUUUUUAAAACCGAACAAGAUUGUGAACUGGAUUUAUCUUCUGGGUGAUAGGGUUAUUGGGCUUACCGGGUCAGACCACGGGUCAAUUAAUUAAAAAUUAUCAUUGUGUUUAUAUAAAUUAUACAUUUUUGAAAAUAUUAAAUUAAAAUAAUCAUACAAAAUUUAACAAAAUUAAAAAUAAUAAUAAAGAAGUAAAAAAAGUUAUAUCUACAUAAAAUCAAAAGAACAUUAAUAAAACAUCACAAAUUCACAAUAAUUAAUUUUAAUUAUGUUUGUGUGCUGCUUGAUAAGGAAUAAAAAGUUUUAACUUUCAAAAAUAACUAUAAACUUUAUAUUUACUUCUAAAAUCAAAUAAUUUUGGUGAAUCAUAACCCGUCCAGUUCAAUCGGUUCACCGAGUCCCGGUUAUGGCGAGUUUUUGUGGGGUUUUCCGGUUUUUAGAUUGACGGUUAUUAGUAUUAAAUCCAAAUGGAGAAGUAACUGGGUCGUGAGUUGACCGGUCGGUCUGGUCCAGAUGUGAAAACAUUGAUUUUGUUCACAAAACAUAUGUAUAUAAUAUCUUUAUUUAGUUAAUCAAUAUAUACAAUAAAGCAAAUCAUAUCAAGUUAAAAAAGAAUAAGUUUUAAAAAAUAAAAAAUAAAUACUACACCGCGGGUUCAAGUUAAUUAUUGUAUAUAUAUACUUGGUUCGUAAGAAAUAGAAUUGUUGUUUCUACCAAAAAAAAAAGAAAUAGAAUUGUUGUCGUUAGAGAACAGAAAUAAAUAAAUGUUAAGAAAUCACCUUAAUUUGCCGUUUUUUUUUUUUUUAACUCUUUCAUUGAUAAGGAAAAGCUGAAAAUUACAGAGAAGAAACAGAGUACAGAAAAGAAACAGAGUACGAUAAGGAAGAAAUAGAACUAACAACGAAAACAACUCACAAGAUCACCCAAACUUCUCUUGAUUAAUCCGAUCAUGUAACCACGCCGGACCACCACGCGCUAGGUUUGAAGUGAGACGACCAUCUGAGGUUACACUCUUGGCUAUAUCUCGAACUAGGGAGUUAGCUUUUGCCGAAGAGAGCAUAAACUUAAUCUCCCCCAUCUCCUGAAGCACUCCACCAAUCUUUGUCAACACGGCCCGGUAUUUUGGCCACAACAUGGGAGCUGCUAAAGCAUUAAGAGCUCCUGCACAAUCCGACCAAAUCUCACAAUUUUGAAUUUGAAGAUCCUUUAGAGCUUUAAUGCACCACAAUAUACAAAAAAGCUCAGCCGUUAUUCGAUUCCACUUCGGGAGGAACGCAUCACGAGCGUGGAACAGAGCAUCGCCAUUGUGAUUUCGUAAUAACCAAGAACCACCACAAAAAGCAGUCGUUAAUCCAUGAACAAUGAAUGUUACAUUUCAUAACACCUAGAACAGGCCUACACCACCGAUUAGAACCCACACGGCCUCGCGAACUAGGGAGACAAACUUCUGGAACUCGGGCUUGUUGGUGGAAUAUCCAUUCCUCUGAAGCAGUCAAAGCGGCUGCGAGCAAACAAUGAGGAUUUUGUGGAGUCCCUGCAAAUAUUAACCCGUUUCUUGCUUUCCAAAUCCCCCAAAUGAUCCAUGGGAUUGCAUAACGAAUUUGAGCUUGAAUAUCAACUCGUUCUAUUAGCUGUAACACGAAAGCAAUAUCCUCAGAAAUAUUCAUCGAAAAACCACCUUCUGGCAUAGGAAGAGAUGACUGUAACCAUACAGGCUUAACCACCGAACAACCAAACAAAACAUGUGCAAUUGUUUCUUCUUCCACCUUACAAAUAGAACAAAGCGGGUUAACCAAUACACCAUGAGUACGCAUGCAUUCAGCUACUGCCAAUGCUCCGGACAAGGCUCUCCACAAGAACAUUUUUAUCUUCGGUUCCGUAUGUAAAGACCAAACCGUCUCUUUAACCUUGUUAAUGGCAAUGAUAUGCUCUGGUAAGGGAUCUAACAACUCUAUCUCACGGUUUAAAAGCCAGUUCCCACUCUUCACCGAAUAGUUACCGUCAGCAGAGAAUGCCCAAAUAUAGCCAUCACUCAAGUUUGUAGCCGGUGGGAAGGACCAAAUGCGAUUAACAUCACAUUGGUAAAACAGUUCCUGCAACCGUGGGACAUUCCAGUCACCUCCUGGGUUUAUUAAGGACGACACCUUCAAGCUUAAAUCCAUGACAAGCUCUUUAUUAGAUGGUCUUCUUGGAAAGUCAUCUAAAACCCAUUUAUCCAUCCAUACACUUGUGUUGACACCAUCACCAAUCGUCUUCAUGACGCCCUUUUCCAAUAAUUCACGACCAAACAAUAUACUGCGCCAAGCGUAAGAAGGCCUAGCACCUAAGACAGCUGAGAAAAGGUCUUUGUCCACAUAAUAUGCCUCUUUAUAAACUCUAGCCAAGAGCGAUUGGGGAGAGACUAGUAAACGCCAAGCUUGCUUAGCAAGAAGAGCUUGAUUAAACCUUCCGAUGUCUCUAAACCCUAAACCUCCUCUAGCCUUGGACCGACAAACUUUCUCCCAAGCUACCCAAUGCAUCUUAUUCUUGUCUUCGGUAGCAUUCCACCAGAACUUCAUCAUAGCACUUGUUAUCAUCCGGCAUUGAUGUUUUGACAAACGAAAACAGGGCAUGGCAUACACGGGUAAGGCCAUUGCAACAGAUUUCAACAACACUUCUUUUCCUCCCAAUGAAAGAGUUUUUUCAAACCAUCCACUUAAGCGAGACUUAAGCCGAUCAGUGAUAUAACUUAGAAGUUCCCGUUUCGAGCCACUAAAACAUUCCGGGAGGCCUAAGUAUUUACCCGCUCCACCUUCUUGUUCUAUGCCCGAAAAUAAUCCCAACAGUCGUCGCAUAUAAGGAUCUAUUCUCUUGCCAAAAGAAAUAGACGACUUUUGGAAAUUAAUUUCCUGACCAGAAGCGUUGCCAUAAAGGACUAAACACUCCAGUAACGCCUUACAUUCAGGUAGAUUUGCUCGGCAAAGGAAGAGGCUGUCGUCGGCGAAAAGUAGAUGCUGCACUGACGGGCAAGAAAGGGAAAGCUUCAUCCCCGUUAAAUGACCAGCGUGCUCUGCUUUGUUCAUAAUAUGUACCAAGGCUUCCGCACAUAAAAUAAACAAAAAGGGAGAUAACGGAUCUCCUUGACGCAACCCUCGUUCUGGUUUAAUGAAUCCAUAUGAUGCACCAUUCAUAAGAACGGAAUAAGAAACUGAUGAUACACAGCUCAUGAUCCACAUAACCCACUUGAUAUCAAAGCCUAGCCUCAGGAGCAACUUUUCUAAAAAUUUCCACUCCACUCGAUCGUACGCCUUAGACAUAUCUAUCUUAAUAGCCAUGAAGUCUUCAUCACAAUGUGGAUUAGUUCGAAGAGCAUGUACCAUUUCAUGGGCUAAUAAGAUGUUAUCUGAAAUUAAUCUUCCCGAGACAAACGCACCUUGAGUAUUGGAGACAAUACUAGGGAGAAUACCCUUUAAUCUAUUACAAAGUACCUUAGAGACAAUCUUAUAAAGUACUGAGCAAAGACUAAUUGGCCGCAAGUCUGUCAUCUUUGUUGGAUUUGGCUUUUUUGGGAGCAAACAAAUCUUAAUUUGCCGUUUAAGUAUACAAAUCAAAGAUGAAAUAUAUAUUUACGUUGAAGUUUUGUCUCUCUCAAUACAUCACAGAAGAAGACACAUAAAAGGUUAAUUCGAUUUGUCCCAUAUUCUUCAAUUCUUUUAUUAUUGUUUCUUUCUUUCUCUUUUCUUCCAGAAAUCUCCGCAAAAUCUUCCCUCAAACUCAGAUCCGAUUCUUCCUUCUUCAUCCUAUUCCUUCUUCUACAUAGAUUCUUUCUUCUUCUCCUUCUUUCUCCCAGUUAAAAGAAUACACUUUUCUUUCUCUUUCUUGCCAAAGUCCUCACCUUUCACCGUUUUAAUCACUGUGCUACUUGGGUUUUGAUUUUGGUACCCGUGUUAAGUGUAUGGCGAUUGGGUUUUACUGCUGAAUCCGAAAACAAAGAUGGAUCGGAGUCAAAAGCUGGAUCGUCUUAUCGCCGCGAAGUUUAAGUUGGGCAGGAAGCUGGGAAGUGGAUCGUUCGGAGAACUUUAUUUAGGUAUCAAUCAAUCAAUAUAUGUUCGUCCUAGUUCUUGCAUUUGGGUUUUGUUGUUGGGGUCUGAUUUGAUCUUUUUCAAUUUAUGUGUUUGGUUUAGGGAUCAAUCUCCAAACUGGAGAAGAAGUCGCAGUUAAGCUGGUAACAACUACGAAUUUGGUUUCAGUUUACAAAUUUUGUUCAUUUUGUUCUGAGGAAAGUUUCAAUUUUUAAUGGAUCCUGCUGACUGUUGCAGUCUUUAUAGUAAAGACUAGUUUUGACUUGAAAUCAAACUGUGUAGCUCAAGUUUUCAUGUUUCUUUGUUUCUUUGACACUAGGAACCUGUGAAGACGAGGCAUCCUCAACUGCAGUAUGAAUCGAAAAUAUAUAUGUUUCUUCAUGGAGGAAGUGAGUGUGGUUUCUAGGCUAGUUUAUUUGAAGUUCCAAUCCUCUCUGCCUCUGAUAGCUUGACAUGUUAUCUUUCUUUUGAAAUAGCGGGUGUUCCUCAUCUCAAAUGGUUUGGAGUCGAGGGUGAAUACAGUUGUAUGGUUAUCGACCUUCUUGGGCCUAGCUUGGAGGACUUGUUCAAUUACUGCAAGCGAAUAUUUUCAUUAAAAUCUGUUUUAAUGCUCGCAGAUCAAUUGGUAAGUACUGAGUAAUAGGUAUGGUUUUAUGUUAUGAUGUUAGGUUGGUGUUUGGGAACACUGCUCAUCUCUUCGUUUGAAUAUGUUGUAUCAAUGCAGUUAUGUAGAGUUGAGUACAUGCAUUCGAAGGGUUUUCUUCACCGCGACAUAAAACCAGACAACUUUUUGAUGGGUCUUGGGCGCAAAGCAAACCAGGUAAUCUUUGUUUCAGCAUGAGUUGGCGUAUGUAGAAUAUAUCUAUGUGUGAUUCGUAGAAUAGGACUGGUACUAAAGCCUUCUGGUUUACUGUAUUUAUUUGAAUCCUCAGGUGUAUAUCAUUGAUUUUGGCCUUGCUAAAAAAUACAAGGAUCUUCAGACACAAAAGCAUAUACCAUACAGGUGAGAUCUGAAAAUUCUUACCCUUUCUUUUCGGAUGUCAAUGUUUACUGAAUCUUUUUUUGUCUAGGAACCUGUUAUAGGAUUUUUUUUGGUUGAUUCCCGUGCCUGAUUUGUUAAUGAAUCACGGAUUUUAUAAUGCACGAGUGUUUUCUUAUAGCUCUCUCCCAGACCUUUGUGUUGGUGCGAGAAUAGAAAUAUUCUCUAUUUCUUGCUGAGUUCAGGACCUGUGUUCGAUACUUUCAUUUGUCCACUCUUCUUCCAGCUUGCUUUAUUAGAUUUUUUUGUAACUUUGCAGGGAAAACAAGAAUCUUACAGGAACUGCUCGUUAUGCAAGUGUGAACACACACCUUGGGAUCGGUAAGAGCUGCUUUCAUCUCAUACAUCCGUUGAUUUCAUGUCACAAGCAUUUGAAACUCUUGUCUUCCUUGCUGUCUUAUUUAUUUUUAUGCAUGCUUACAGAGCAAAGUAGAAGAGAUGAUCUGGAGUCACUUGGUUAUGUUUUGAUGUAUUUUUUACGAGGAAGGUAAUGAACUUUCUUGGUUGCAUAUUAGCUUAUAACUUCUUGAAGAAAAUGAAAUUCUUGAACUUGAGUUCAUUUCUCCUGUCUCAGUCUUCCGUGGCAAGGUUUGAAAGCUGGUACAAAGAAGCAGAAGUAUGACAAGAUUAGUGAAAAGAAGAUGCUUACUUCUGUAGAGGUACCUCAUUGAUAAGGUUUUGUAUGCAGAUAAUGUUUUAAUUUGUCCAUUAGUACUGAUAUAGCAUGUUUUUACUUUAUGUAGACUCUUUGCAAGUCGUAUCCGUCGGAGUUCACCUCGUAUUUCCAUUACUGUCGAUCAUUGAGAUUUGAGGACAAACCAGAUUAUUCAUAUCUGAGAAGACUUUUCAGGGACCUUUUCAUUCGUGAAGGUUAAAACUUCUGCUGUGUUUGUUCUUUAUUCCCGAUCUGUUAUUAGAUUGUUUAUGGUCUAUGGAGUUACAGAAAUAUCAUCCCUUGCUUUCUUGUACGUAUUUGAUGGAAUGAACGAUGCAGGUUAUCAGCUCGAUUACGUGUUUGAUUGGACAAUCUCAAAAUAUCCUCAAUCUGGCUCUAGUUCGAGACCAAGGGUUAGUCCUAUUAUUGAUUUUACGUGUGAGAGUUGCAAUUAAUUUAUCCAAAAUCGUAUCCGCGAUUGUGAUUUAUGUGUUUAUCAUUCAUAACAGCCAUCUCCAAGACCAGCAUUGGACCCUCCAGGACCACCUGCAGAAAGAGCUGAAAAGCCUACAGGUACAUUGAUGUUCUCUGUCUCUAAUGUUGUAGGGACUAAAUUAGUCCGAUUGAUACAAAGAUAAAUAUGUUUUUAAGCUAAAAGACAUCUCUCUUAUAUUGUAGGGACUAAAUUAGUCCGACUGAUACAAAGAUAAAUAUCGAAAAAUGUCUUUUAGCUUAAAAACAUAGCUAUGUAUACUUUUGAGACUUGAGUGCUGACAAUUUUGGGUGCUUAAAAACGUGCACUAUUUCAUCUGAACCUUCAGACCGUUAAUUUGUGUCCCACAUAGAUAUGUUUCUCCCUUCGAAGAUUUUUAAUUUUUGUCCAGAGAUUUAACAAAAAUUCUCAAGUAGGGGAAGAUCCCAAACAACUUAAGUUUUUGUUCUGUUUAGUAGGACAGGACCUGCGAGGAAGAUUUACAGGCGCAAUUGAGGCUUUCACCAGACGAAAUGUUUCAAGCCAAGGCGCUCUUGGUGACCGCUCUAGACACAGAUCUUCUGAUGAUAUACCCUCUUCUGCCAAGGAAGUGGUUAGUUUUUGGUGUUAAUUUUCUAGUUGGCUAAUCCUGUAGAUCUAUCAUGAACAUUUCUCUAGUUAAAGAUCCAAACUCCCAAGUAAUUCUCAAGUUAAAUAGGAAUUUUCUAAAGGAUAUGAGAAAGUUUGUCUGUUUUGAUUUGUUGUGGCUUCACUUGCAGCUUGAUUCUCGAAAUGGAAGUACCUCAAAGAGAGGUGUGAUAUCAAGCAGCAGACCUGGCUCAUCAGCUGAGCCAAGUGAGAACCGCUCAAGCCGACUAUUUUCAAGUGGGUCACGUCAUGCCACAACCCAACGGGUUCAACAGAGCUAUGAAUCCAAACAAUCAUCUACAGCUGCAAGGCCUGGACAUGAGGAUGCCAUUAGAAGCUUCGAGCUCCUGACCAUCGGCUCUGGGAAGAAGAGAAAGUGAAGAUAAGGGAAGGAGAAGUUUAAUGAGAGUAAAGCCAAGAUUAUAUGCUGAUGGCUCUGUCCUCUGAAAAUAGGAAAGAGCAGUGUUUUAGCCUUGAGAACAAGAUGAGAGGAGAAAGAGAGUUAAUGUAUUCUCACCAUCUCUCAUUCUCUGGUUUUAAAAGAAUCUGUUAAUAAAAGCAUUUAAAUUGUAACUUGUCAUGUGUACUUCACUUUUUUUCCUCCUCUGUUUUCUAAAAAAUCGAUAUAGGACUAAAAUGUGAAAACCUAUCUCGUCUUCUCCAACCUUGCGGCGUUCAUAACAAACGUAUUUUACUAGUCAUAUUAUGGUCAAAUGAAAUUCUCAGACUUUGAUGAAGAUUGUGUUGACAAUCUUGGAAAAGAUACGAAAAUAUAUUUUGUCUGCAUCUGCUAAAACAUCGUAGAACAUACAAUUUGGUUACAGUAUCCUUUCUAACACCGAGAAAUAGGCAGAGGUUACAUCUUUCAAAAGCUACCAUUAAACACAGAAAAUAAGACAUAGCGACUAAUGUCUUCUAAGAGUGAUAAAUGGAGUGGAGCAAAGACUAAUGUCUUCUAAGAGUGAUGAAUGGAGUGGAGCUGAGAUGAGCUGCGAUAUUGGGUGAUAAAAAUUCAUCAACUUGGUGGUUGGGUGUCACUCUUGAGAUGGGCGUAAACGGCAUCUUGUUUUCUAUGGGAGUUAGCGGAAGUGGACUUGCUGGUGUAAGACAUUGAGGCUGUGAGCUCUUUCCCGGUCUUAAAGUAGCGAGGUAAGCAUGUCCGCUGCAGAAAGGAAGGCUCGUAGCUUGAACUGUAGAUUCUUCCUCCUUUGCCACUUGAGCUCCACAUGGUUCCUUCAAACAUUGAAAUGAAAUUGCAUUUAGGAUCAGAGCAUAACAAACAGAUAAACAGAAGCUUUUUGUGCCUAUUAGUUAUUAGUUACGGGUUUAUUACCCCAAGCUUGAGAAAGUUAAAAGCCUGGUUAUCAGAUCCAAGGUAGAUCUCAAUAAGCUUCCUCAAGUCAGCUAGUGUUGCAUCCUUUGUAACUCUGAGUGUUGUUAUGAGCUUUCGAGGGUUAUCAGCAGUUGUUUCCCACUUAACAUAGAUAUCUAUCUGACCGGUUUUCCUCUCAUCGCCUGAGAUAUUGUUUUCCUUUGCUUCUUCCACUGCUGCCUUAUUCGUUAUAGAAAACAACUGAUUGUCUUUCUUAUCAGGUGAUGCAGCAUUAUUGGCUUGAUCCUCCUCUUGUCCACCGUGUUGUGACAGCUCUCUCUGAUUGCCACAAAGGGUGAAUAUGUUUUGAAUUCUCAACCUUCUCGACGAGGCUGAUUCUUUGUCAUCUGUACUGUUGAAGCAGUUCUCUUUACCCAAACCUCCAGAAUUCAAACUAGGCAUUGGUGUUGUUAUUAGGCAGAUGCUUUUAUCCUCGACUAUCACUUUUUCUUCCUCUUCUUCAACCUCUUCUUCUUCGAAGACAGUGCUCAAGCAUACCCGGUCAGGGAACAUCUGCGUAAGCAUAUUCUCUGCAGGUUUUGGCUGCAAAAUGUUAGUGAAACCCCCCAAACUUGAUUGGUGUGAAACCCCCCAAACUUGCUUGACUGGUUCUGGUUCACCCAUGUCAAGGUCCAUUGACUUCACCAUACCAGGAUCAUCAUCAGAGUAAAGACUCUUGAGUCUUUUAGCAAACCCACUAGUUUCAUCAAUACUUCCUCCAUCCCUUGAGCGCCGAAACUCAACCUCAAUUUCCUCUAACCGUCUUCUCAUCAUCUCCAGUUCCUCUUGUUGCUGCACAAUCCUUUCCUCCAUUCUUCUUCUCUCCAUCUCAACAAAUUCCUCAGCCAUUCUUCGGCAUUCCUCAAGUUUCUUCUCUAGUUCCGAUUUCAAAAGUUCGGUUCUUUCGUUUACUUUUUCUUUUAUCUCCUCUUCAUUGGUAGCACUUGCUUCCUUUCGUGUAAGUAGGGAUCGCAAUGCAGCAAUUUCCUCUUCCUUCUUCUUCAGCUGCUUUUGUGCAUCAUUCCUUUCUUUUUCUUGUUGCUUCUUCUCAGACUGGAGUUUGAGAAUAAACUCAUCCAUCGCAGCUAUUCUUGAUCCCAAAAUAACAGCUGAAGCAGACUCAUCACCCCCAUUCUUAUCUUUGUUUGGAGUAUGAGACCCACGAACUAUGCACUUUGCCUUUGCUCCAUAUUCUAGAGUGCAUAGAGUCUUGUGCAUUUCCUUUGGAUCUGGACUCGCACACAGGAUCAUUAGAAUCUUUGACUUGUCAUCUUCAAAAGAGUCCUGCACCCAAAAGAUAUAUUAAAACUAAAUACAUCUUCAAGUUAACUAAGGAGCCACGGACAUCUUCCAGAGUAUUAAUCAAGAGAACACAAUUUUCACCUGGAGGAGCAUGGUCAGCUUACUGUCUCUGAAGGGUACGUGAGAGUCUCCAUUUGCUAUAGAUUCCACAACUCGCUUCAGUGCGAUAUUUCCCUGAUUGAUCUUAGCUGUCUGUUGAAUAGAGAGAGAUAUACAGGUCAGUUGAAUUCCUUAAUAGUAACUUUCAUAGACUCAAAUGAAUUGAGAGAGACUAAAGAAGUAAUCAUUACUUGCAUCUUAGCUUCAAAUCCGGUUUGCCCAGCUUGGUCUAUAUUCUCUGAACCAGCCAUGUCAACAAGCAUUAACCUUCCCCCAACAGUUGGCACAUCAAGUAUUAUCUACAAAAGGAAACAAUCACUCUUGUAAGUUGCAACAGAGAUAAACUAUAUAUAUAUAUAUGCACUAAUCAAGAAGAUCGAUAUUACAAUGCAGUGACUCCGGGAACUUCUUUCAUUGCAAAGUGUGCUUUUCACAAUUCUCCGUUUCUCCACUUUCACAAUUUCUUUAGAGAUCUUCCCAGCCUCUGUCCCUGAAAUAAAGGUUGCAUUUUUCGCCUUUUUCCCCAUUACUUCAAGCCUCACCUGUAAUAAACCACAAAUUCCAGAAGUUAUAUACUAAGCUUGAUCAAUCAAGAACCUACAUUUUCACACAAAGGAACUAAAAAGACUUUACCUUAGUGCUACCUCCCUUAGGCCAACCAAUCCCUAAAUUGUUACUACUAUUAGUCGAAAGAAGAUCAUAAAUCUCCUCAUUAUAAACCUCAAGAACAGUGACUUGAACAAAAGUAACACCAUCUUGGUCCGAAUCUCCCAAAAUAUCCCUCAAAGAACGAUACACAAUCCCAGGUUGCUUCCCACAACCAAACAUAGUAUGACUCUUCCCCGCACCAGUUGGUCCAUACAUCAUAAUCGUGCAUUUAUUCCCAACUUUGACACCUUUAAUCCUCUCUUCUAUAAACUUCUUGUAAAAAUCUUCAAGACCUUCUUGCUCCGAGAAAGAAACACCAUCUAAGGUGAAAUCUCUGUACCCAACAUCAGCUCUGACUCGUACCGUUUCGUUAUCUGGGUUAACCUGCAAGAUCGACGCCGGUCUCUCUUUCCGAUCUGGAUAAUCACGGAUCCGUCCGAUUACUUCAACUGGAUGCUCCGGCGGAGUUGGGUCUUUGGAUCCAUCUGGGUUUGGGGUUUUCGAGUGGAAAUUGAGCCGUUGUUUGGUUUGUGGAGUUCUGAUUAGAGUAUAUUGGGUUUGAUUCGAUCUCGAAGAAGAUGGCGUCGGCGCCAUUGUUAAAGAAGCUUCAAGAUUUCAGAUUUGUGUAGAAAUGAGUGAAGUUUUGAAAUUUGGAGAUUUCAGAGAGCGUUAGAGUAGAGAGAGAAAUUGAAAAGGGGAUUAGGGUUUUGUGAUUCACGAGGUUUGAAGUUUUGAACAAAGAAAGAAACAAACAUAACCGUUGUGUUGUUGUAUCUCUAAACGGCUAGUUUUGUCUCACGGGACCAGUGAUUGAUUUGAUUUGUUGUAAACAAAAUAAUAUUUUCGGCAAGUAAAAUAUUUUAAUUCUCUUUUUGAAAAAGGUAAGUUGAGAUUUUAAUAUGGGCUGGAUUGUUGAUUACGUAAAUGGGCUUUUGUGUUUUUUUAGAAGCCCAAAUGUUAUAGGAUUAGGGUUUUCUCAAAGUCUCUCUCUUAUAAACUUCGUUCCUUUUAGAUAAUUUGUGGUUUUUGGGCAGUGGAGAAGACGACGGCACGAGCUUCACCGAAGAGCGAAAAUGGUGAUUCUCUUCUUCUCUGUUCUUUGGUUUUCUGCUAGAUUUCUAUUAGGUUAGGUUGGGACUUAGUAUUUGGUUGCUGAUGUAUACUUUUUGAUCAAUCGAAAUUAUUGUUUUCAGAUCAGUUUUGUGAUUUUUGUCUUCUUCUUUCUUUGAGAUGCUUGUUUCUGAGUUUGCAUCUUCAAUCGAGUAUGAUUAAAGUCUAAUUCUAAGUUUGAGAACCUGUUGUGUUGUUGCUUUCGUUGUUGUACUUUGAGGAUUCAAAAUGAUGUAGUGUUAUACAUUUGCAUUGUUGCUACAAUUCAAAAGGACUUGUUCAUUAGAUGGAUUCACAGAGUGGUUAUCAGUAUUUUCUAGUUAAGUAGUCAGAUCGUAUGGUUGAUAUCAAUUCUGAAUGAUGUAGGAGAAUGAGGAAGUUUUAUUAUCAGAUUGAAGGGUUUGUACAUAAGCAGUUUAAUGAUUGUAAUCGAUUCUGUAUAUUGUUGAAACCAUUUCUUGUGGUAGUUUGUAACUCAAGGGUUCGGUGUUCUCUUUAUCUUAGGUGAACAUUCCCAAAACUAAGAACACCUACUGCAAAAACAAGGAAUGCAAAAAGCAUACCUUGCACAAGGUGACCCAGUACAAGAAGGGUAAAGACAGUCUUGCUGCCCAGGGAAAGCGUCGUUAUGACCGCAAACAAUCUGGAUAUGGAGGUCAGACCAAGCCCGUCUUCCACAAGAAGGUAAGACAAAAUCAACAAUAAUGCUCUGAUUCAGUUUUGAUUUGCCUUAUUCUGAUCGCUUAUUACAGUCUGAGAACUAAUGUAGUAGAUAAGAUUUGACUCUCUAAAAUAUGUCUCAGAUGUAUACUCGGUACUAUACUUGGUAGGAAUGAUCUGUUACCUGGCCUGUGUCUCAUCAUUUGUAUUUCUUUGGAACAGGCUAAGACAACCAAGAAGAUUGUCCUAAGGCUUCAGUGCCAAAGCUGCAAGCAUUUCUCUCAACGCCCUAUUAAGGUAAUGAUGAGUGAAACAUUCUUUAUCUUUGUCAAACAUUCUUUACUUUCAGUUCUGAUUCUUACAUAUUUGUGUGUUGGAUUUUGCAGAGGUGCAAGCACUUUGAGAUCGGUGGAGACAAGAAGGGAAAGGGAACAUCACUCUUUUAAGUUGUUUCAUCUAUCUACUUUUUUUGUUUUGUUUUGGUACCUUGUCUUUGCUUCGAUACUCGGAUAUACUUUGAAAUCUUGGUUGUGGUGUUUAAUUUUAUAGGACAGUGUCGAAUGGAUAACCUUCUUUUAAGUUUGUGAACCAAUUCAACAUCAUUAGAAUGCA